UAACUUUUCUCUCUCUAAAAUCACCUGUCCAAUCCAAGCAAAAUCCUUUGGUACAAUAUAAACAUUACUCUACAUAUUUUGAUUUAUUUUCAUGGAAUAAAUUAAACGAAUCUUAGAUGAUUACGUCGCUGAGAUGCAUAUGCUUUGGUAGUUUAAUAAUUAAUUAAUCAGUUUUUAUGCUUCAGGCUCUGUAUUAUCCAUUUCAUUUAUUCUUUUCUAUCAAUUUCUUUUCUCGGUAUAGGCUAUUAUUAAUUUAUAAUGUUUUUGCAUUUUAGGACAUUAAUUUAUUCAUUUACCUAACUGUCGCCUGCGUGAUUAGUGAUUCGUUGCACGUUGUUCCGUGUUUUUUAUAAUUCUUAUCAAGUUAUCCGAAUCCGGAUAGCGUAAAUGUGUGUGUGUGGUGGGUAAUAUCUAUAAGCAGUUGGCGUGCCAUAUCUUUCACAUAAUCUUAGGAUCUAGAUUUGCUUUGCUUGAACUUCAAGGUCUAUAUUGUUCUUAAUUUUGGAUUAACUGAAUUUUAUUUUCUAAAAGUGAAUCCUCAUUUUGUAUGAGCCUCUUUACAUAUUCAUUUAGAUAUCAGUUUAGGAUUGUUGGACAAUACUUGCUACUUGAACUUGGCAGUUUGAAUUGUUAGUGUUGAAAUGUGACUUCUAAUAGUGCAUUCUGAGAAGCGUUAACUAUUUAUAUUUCUGUUUAGGGCUUUUUGGGUAAGUAUUCAUUAAAAGAAUUUCUACGCGACUCAUCAAUACUUUCUUCACCUGUUAAGUUUAAUUAAUGGCUGAAGGUAAUAAUUUAUCCAUUCUGUUUGUCGCUGUCUGCAUCUUCAAGACAUUGGCGAUACAAUUAUAAACUAUUGAUCUUGAUUACUUAUUUUGGAGGGAUGGAUGGGGGAAAUGAUGCCUAAGGAUAAUUGCAAUCGAGUGCAUAGGUAUAAGCAGAAUUUUGGUCAGUAAGUACAGAAAUAUGUGAGCUGUUUGUCAAUGUUCCUUCUUUCGCAGUGUUCUUGUAAUUAGUUCGCUAAAGAUGCAAUUCCUGAUCAACUGAUGAACUAUAUUUGGGGGGGGGGGGGGGGGGGGGGAAAAUUGNNNNNNNNNNNNNNNNNNNNNNNNNNNNNNNNNNNNNNNNNNNNNNNNNNNNNNNNNNNNNNNNNNNNNNNNNNNNNNNNNNNNNNNNNNNNNNNNNNNNNNNNNNNNNNNNNNNNNNNNNNGGAUGAAUCAUGCGGAUUUGUGAUGUUUUGGACAAUGUUGUCGAGCUUUUAUCUUGCCCUUAAAUUUAGCAAAAUAAUUCUGGUAUUCACUUGAGCCUCCCAAAGUAUUCUUUUUGAGCAUGCCACCAUAACUAAAUUGAUUUUCGGUAAUUUAGUUCCUAUAAUUUUUCUCUCUUUAUUUGGGAACAGUAGAUAUUUUGGCUUAUUGCAAUAACUUCCUUUGUCCCCAAUUUUUAGGGCUUUCUAACCAUUAGAAAUAUAAUAAAAACAAUUAUUUUAAAUAAACUCAGUCAGCUACAUAAAUCCUUAUCGUCAGAAUUUCUAUGGAUUGAAAUUUUGCAAUCAUAUUAAGCUGACAGCAAUGUUGUUCUAGCCUUGUAGGUGAAGAUAACAGAUUGAAAUUAAUAUUUUGCUUCCCAUCAUUUUCUUCACAUAGAUGGGUUAGUGUUGCUUGUUGCAGGUUUCAAUUCAGAUUUCUUUCCAGUUUCCACAACAACUAAUGUUCUUAAGUAAAUCAUAGUUCCUUACUUCCUUUAAUGUGUUUUGUGAAUUCCUGGUCCUCGCCAGGUAGGGCAGACUGUGUCAUUUUAAGAGUAUAUUUUUGGUUGUUGCAUUUCAAUUACCAUUUCUCCAUUAUUCUGAAAGACUUUCAACUGUACUUUGCUCUUUAAAACUUGAUUGUUAAUGCAUUUGGAUCCUGUCUUUGGCCUGUAUUUUCAGGUCAAAAUCGUGAUGUACUUUAAUAUCGUCAUCUGUCAUGUUGCAUAUGGAAUGAAAAAUCGCAGUGCCUAUUUUGAGUUUCCUGUCGUACAGUUUCAGUUCACUUUGCUCUUUCCCCUUAUGUCGACAAUAUAGAAUUGCUUUAUCAUGGUGAUGUCCUGCUCAAAUCGGAAAUAACCCCUCAUGUUUAAGUUUCCACUCUGGUAUUCAGGAAAUGGCAAAAGGAACCAGGGGAAGACGAGGGAUUGCUUCAAGACAGUGCAGGUCAACUCCAUACCCUCUGCCAGCUACUAAUCAAACCGAAGUGACAGAACAAAAGAAGUGCUCCAAAAUCUUCGAUAAGAAAGACUGGGAAGAUGCUACUUGUUCUGUAUGUAUGGAGUGUCCCCAUAAUGCUGUUCUUCUAUUGUGUUCCUCCCAUGACAAAGGAUGCCGUCCUUUCAUGUGUGGGACCAGCAUCCGCUAUUCCAACUGCCUUGACCAGUACAAGAAAGCGUACACAAAAGUAACUCCUUCAGACACUCGUCCAGUAGGGUAUGAUUCACUCGAUAGUCAAGUCAUGAGUCCAUUAUUAUUGUGAGGUUAUGGAACUUGCAUGUCCCCUUUGUCGUGGCCAGGUGAAGGGAUGGACUGUUGUUGAGCCUGCACGAGAACAUCUCAAUGCAAAGAAGCGUAGCUGCAUGCAAGAUAACUGCUCUUUUGUUGGAACAUAUAAAGAAUUGCGGAAACAUGUUAGGGUAGAGCAUGCUUCUGCUAAGCUACGUGAAGUGGAUCCCGUUCUAGAGCAGAAGUGGAGAAAGUUGGAGCAUGAGAGAGAGACACAAGAUGUCGUGAGCACGAUAAGGUCAUCAGUGCCAGGGGCAGUGUUCUUUGGCGACUACGUGAUUGAAGGAAGUCAUUAUGGGUUUAAUUCAAGCGAAGAGGAGCAUUAUGAUGCAGAUGGCAUGGAGCAGGACGAGGGCUCCGAAGUGGGAAUAGAUCGCAAUUUAAUGCGCUUCUUUCUUUUUUUCCAGGCAUUUGGUUCUGCAGGUAGCAGAUCGCAUGAAAGAGAUUCUGACCACUCGUUAGAUAGAGGUGCUUCUUAUUACUUUGAUCAAGAUGAUGAUGAUUUCAGUUUAGAUGACGGCAACUCUAACACGUCACUGACUGGCCGUCUACGUCGUCGAGGUAGAGUCCUUUCGGGAAGAAAUCGUAGAGAGGGAAAUGGAAACUGAAGUAGAUUCUUAUUGUUUCAGAGAAGGUAAGAAAAUGUGAAGUGUAGAUUUCUAGGUCUUAGUCCGUGGGUAGAAAAGUGUAAACAUUUGUACCUUUAUGCUUAUUUACUUCUUAUAUUCCAGACUUCAUUGCUGGAUGGCUCAAGAAUAUGGAGGAUCCGAUAAACACUUGUUCAUACAACUAUUAGUCUGCAGUUUCCUGAUUCACUUGUGUUGUAAAUUGUUGAAAUUCUUCGUGGUUUUGCUCAUGAAAAUUUAAGUUCUCUUUCCUCUGUGUUGCAUUUAUUUCUGGGAAUAGUCGGCAUUGUUAUACUACGAAAAGUGAAUUUGUUUCUUUUCUAUUUGAUUUUGAUGAUCGAAAACUGCAGGAAAGUAGAGCAUCAAGAUAAUUUUCCGAUAUAAUCAGAUUCAAGAGAUUUUAUUAUCUAAUUGCUUUGUCUCCUUUUUGCAGGUCGAAACAGUGACUAAGAUUAAUGUAUUUUGUAGGAAUUUUAUAAACGCGUUUAAGUUCGCACUUGAAGAAUUAACUUUAAACUUGUAAGAACUUAUCGACAUGCUCCCAUGUCCUUUGAUAAUAUCAUAAUUUUAAUGGAUCAAUUAAAAAAUAUGACUUCACGUCUGUCUUUUCUUGUUAUAUAACGAGAGAGAGAAUGGACGAAAGUGUAUCCAAGAAUGAAAAAUAAAAAAUCACAAGUUAGUCAUCCUUUAGCGUUGAUAGAUUUUGUUCAUCAGACAAACAAAUAAUCACAUUAUAUGAUCCUUCGAUUUUGAAAGACCAUUUCAUUUGGCCCCUGUUGGUACAGAUUUUUUAAAUUCAAUUUUUCUUAAAUUAACUUUAAUCAAACAUUUUUUCAAUAAAAUAAGUUUACAUGUGAAUCCAUAAUUUUUUCCUACAUUUCAAUCACCCCUCCAAAAGAAGACUUUUCACUAAAAAAUCUACCUCAAAUAGUCCCUUUUACUUUCUUCAUUUUGGCCUUAAUUUUUUAAUUUUAAUUUUUUUUAAUUUAAGUUUUCGUUAAUUUAUGCUAUAAUGCGAUUUUGACUAUAUAUAAUUUCCAUACUACGCCUAGGUUUCUUAUUAGGGUGUUGUCUUUCAAAUUGUUUAAACCUCGGCCAUUUGGGUGUUAAUAUGUUACUCAGAAUAAGCUUUUUUGAGAUUCUCCGUACGGUGUUUGUUACCUAUAUAUAAUAUUCUCAAACGAAAUUUAAAAUUAAAAGUUGUUCAAUUCACUAUUUGGCAUCAUAUUUCAAAACAACCAAUGGUUACAAGGCAAUUGAAAAUGAAUAUUGUACAUGGAAGUGUCCAAUGGCAUUCCUUGAACUUCAGAUAGAUUAAAAAAAGAGUGCCACAUAUUCUUACUACAGUACUAUCAAGUACUAUCCAGUCCAACUUAGUCAACAAGCUAGCUAAUGAAAUAAUUGUCCAUACACUGUUGGUUCUUCAAUUAGUUAUAAUCAGAGUAAAAAUGCAUAACUAGAAAACAGGGGAGUGGCACAAGCUACUAUUACUAGCAAGGUUCCUUGAUGCAAAACCUAGAUGGCUCUCAAAGUUAUGUAAGUCCAUUCAAUAAAUCAAACCACAAACAUGAACUGCACCGUAAGCCUACCUUCAUGAAAGUGUUGCUGUCAAUUCAGCUUUCUUAUCUUCCAAAAGCUUCAACUCAUUGCGCCAACCUUCUAAUUUGGCUACCUUUUCUAAUUGUUCCGGCUGCAUAUCUUUCUCCACUGUUUUCUGCUGCUGAGCUUCAGUAAGCCGAAUCUAUAUAAAAAACGCAGAAUUUGUAAAUCAGAGUUUGAACAUAUCCAAAUUCAAGUGCUGAUACCAAGAACCAAAAAGAAAUACAAUAUAUUUGCAAACAAUUGUGGGACACAAUAAUCUGGUUGAAUUUACCAUCUAAUGCAAAAUACUACGAAAACUACAACAUUCAUAUUCACCACGGAUACAAAAACUACAUGCACAAACUGGGAGCCCUGAUGUAGUUGAAAAUGGGGUCUAGUGUAAAUUUUACAUCAUCGUAUUAUCUUUCAUCUCUUUACUCAAACUACACUCUUUCUAAUCUACAAUUUGACAAUCAAAAAAUAUGAUAGCAGAUACGCAUCAAAGAGCUUAAAGCAAUUCCACCAACUAUCCUCAGGAAAAGAGCUUAUAUAACACAAUAAGAAAAUAAUAUAAAAUAGAAUUACAACAAAUUUAUUUGCAGAAGCAUAAAUACAGUUAGCUUAACUGGCACAGAAGCUUAUAAUAAAAAAUAAACUGCAGAUAGAUGUGAUAUUGUAUCUUUGGCAGGGGAUUUAAUUUGGAGAUGCGUACAACUGCUACAUUUUCCAAAUAAACAAAAUCAGAAUUCACAGUAUAUCUGUUGGACAUAAUAAUGCAGCAGAGUGAGGUCUUUUAACAUUUUAAUACUCAUGCAUACUACAAGCACAACAUAUAUUUACCUUCUUUUUCAGUGCUCGGAUUUUUUUAUCAAUAUCUUGAACCUGAUCCUCUGGAGUAGAACACACUGUUGAAUUUGAAGGUAGUAUGACCAUACGAGUACUUGAACUAAGGGAGAGUUCAUUCAUAUUGGAUGCAACUGACUCCACAUUCAUUGGCACGUCAUUUGAAUCUUCAGCAGGCAACAUAUCAUUGUUCUCCAAAGUUUUAUCCUUGUCAAGAGCAGCCUGUCAUAAAUCAUGUUUACCAGAACCUACUUAGAGAUGUACAAAUGGAGAAUUUAUCAGCAUUUCAAAUCCAGCACGAGGUGCUCCACAUACAGGACAGAGGACGUCUCUCAGGCUCUUGGAACACAGAUAAAUAUAUAUAUCAACGUGUAGUAUAGAUAUAAAUAUCGUGAAAACGGCAUAAUAUAAUUCAGGUAUCUGUCAAUUGGUCUUGAGGCCAAAUCUUGAUCUAAUUUGCCUUUCAAUGUAAAACUGACCGAUUAUGUUACAGUUGCAUAUAUAUUCAACAUAGGAAUUGGGAUGAGAUGCACGUACAUCUUCUAAGCUGAGAAGUCUUGUCAUUGCUGCAAUUGGUUACUCGACCUUUUGCCUAGCACAGAUUGAUUGUCAGUGAAAGAAGAUUCAAUGUGGUGUUUCAAAACAGUACUUGGAUCUGGGUAGUACUUGUUAUCCCAUUAAACUUCAAUUUGAUUUCUCAUCUCCGGUCAUUUGAAAAAAUUUAAAUGAAUCGAUGAGGUUUAUAUAUUGCAUAUUGCAUUGAUGUUUGCAAAAGUACACUUUGAGAGAAAAAUGCCAUCUCGUCUUUUACAAAUCAUUUUGAGACCAAAUAUAUUAUUCGGAACUAUUGGAAUCUAGUGCCAUAGAGUAACUUGCUUAUUUUGAAGAUCUUAGAUUUGUCAUUCAAGUUAUAAUCUAAUAAUUUAUUUUUUAAGAAUUAAUUACGAACAUGGAAGUUUGAUGCUUUGCCAGAUACAUAUUGCUCUCUACAAAUAAACCCAAAAAAAAAAAAAAAAAAGGGUUUUUCGGAGAUCAUUUUCUUCGAUUUUCCUUUCCUUUUCCUUUGCAUUCCACUUACCUUCAACAUAAUCACAAAUUUUUUUCUAUUAUUAAGGAAAAAAAUUGCUUUAUUGAAAAUAGUGCAAAAAACCUAUUAACUAUUGUUGCAGUGGCACAUCCAAGCACAGAAAGCAUCAGUAAAUUAAAGUGCAACUGAGCAAACAUUAAUUUCAUCUUAUAGACUGAAUAUAUUUGGGGGACAACAAAAUUUCUACAGUAAAUAAUGGACAAAAAUGCACAAUCAAAAUCCCUCAAAAUAAGCAUCCAUAAGCAGCUAUUGUUCUACUGUUUUUGCCAUAAUAAUCAGUAGACCAUAUUACCAUUCAAUCACGUGAUUUAUAACUUCGCCCCUCCAAAAUUAGACAAGAUUAGUUCAUAAGCUUCAUGGUUUCAUUUUGUAUUUGAACAGGUGGAUAUUCAAAUCCAUUCCAUGAAACUUUAAAUUGGUGGAUUUGAAUCAAGCCAAUUCAGAUUCAUCAGUCUGGAAGCACCUCAUUCAAAAAUCUAUUAAUUCAAAAAUCCUUUGCCUAUUCAUUUCGUUUCAUCAACCAAUCACAAGUACUUAGUUAAAAUAUUGGUGCAUCCCCUUUUAUAGAUAAUUAUACUUAUGCUUUAACACUGGUUUAAUUUAUUCAGGAAUCACCCAUGUACUUCCAAUUCUAUAUUAAAUGGAUUAUAAACACUGAGUUCUUCAUAGAAUAGCACUACAAGAAGCUUAUUAAGCUAUCAGUAUUACCACUACACGAAGCUCAACUUUACGAUUGACAACCCAGAAAAACAACACCUAAUAAAAAUAUUAUUCAACACGGAAAAUUGAGAAAACGAAAAAAUAAAAUUAAAUAAAUGAUUACCUGUAGACGUUUUUCUUUCUUUCUCUCAUUCCUUUUACCCGAUUUGGACUUAGGUUUGGCUUCUACCACAUCUGGAUUAUACCCCGGCGGCACCUCCUGCGUGGCCCCCAUUUCCUUCUUCCACUGUCACCACUCCCAUCAAUAAACGCAAAUUUAUACACACAUCUAUCAGUAAUUGUCAUAAACAAGUACGUAAAUCACUUACAAGGGCGCCUCUGGAUUGAUAAAUGGCGACUUCGUCUUGAGGCGUAUAACCCGCCCGAAUUCGUACGGGCUUGCGGAGGGAGCCGUCCGGUCGUCUGGUCGGGGCGAGGAUUCUUUCCCCUUCUUUCGGCGUUUUGCCGAGUUCAGCUGUGAAUUGACUCACUGCCUCUUCUCCUCUUCCAUUUCUGCUUGUCGCCAUUGCUAUAAUCGAUUGAUCGUGUGUCCAAAAUCUAAACGGGCGUAUUCAACUGAGGUUUUGAAGAUUCUGAUAAAAGUUUUGUUUUUUUUUUUUUCCUUAAGUGAGAGCUCAGUGGAUUUUUUAGAUUUUAUUUUAAGCCAAUUAAAUCAAUUUUUUUAUUAUUUUAAUCGUUAUUUUUGAAUUUUUCUUUCAUAAAUAAAACAACAUUAUAUCUAGUAGUAAAAAAUCAAUUAUCAAAAUCUCAACCACAUAAACACGUAGACUUUUUUUAGAAUUUAAAAGGUUUUUAAAACUUUUAUUUGAAGUAGAAUUUACGUCUUCCCCCUCCCCUUUCAGUAAAAUAAAGUGAUUUUAAAAAGAAUAAAAAUUUUAAAAAAUAAAUAAUAAUAAUAAUAAAAUAAUAUAUUUAAAUUUAAUUAUAAAUUGAUCAUAUAAAAUUUUGUAAUUAAAUAAAAAAUUGAUAUUUUUUCACAAAAAAAAAUGAAUGAAAAAAAGAAAAAAGUUAUUUUUCAUAGAAAAUAGAUACAAACAAAGAGAGAUAAAUAUGAACAAAUAUAAUUAAUAGAAAAAAAUAAAUUUUAAUCAUAACUCUAAUUUUCGUAAAAGGAAAAAUGAAAGAGAAAUAUUGGAAAAAUAUGCAUCGCUUUUAAAAUUUUUGUGAAAGUUUUCCAAAAUCUUAUGAUUAAUGAGAGAUAAAUGUUGAGAUUUGAUGAGUACUUUUAGCUUAAAAAUUAGUACCCCUCAAGAUUUAUAAAUAUUUCUAAAAAAUUUUAAUUGAAUACACCGUAACUUUUAAAGACUUUCUAAAACUCUCAAUUGAAUGCACCAAUACUUUUAGAAAGUCUCAAAAAAUCUAUAUUGAAUAUACAUGCACUUUUUAAAUUUUAAAAAGUCAUUAAAAGUUUCAAUUGAACAUAUCCCUAAAUCUUGAUUUGUGAGAAUUUAGUAUUCGAUUAAUAAACUAAUCAGCGUGUUUAUUAAAAAGGACAACAAUUUUGUAGCGAGGAUUAGUGAGCUAGAAGUAUGUACUUUGAUUGGUUCAUCGUGCGAGGGCUGAACAUCUCUGAGUCCUGAUUGGUUGAGGAUUUUUUAGACCCAAAAAAAAAAUCUUUUUUUUUUAUUAUUAUUUCACUAUUUCAACCGUUAUCUUUUACUUCUUCACUUACAGAUGGAACUCAUUUUUUUCUCUAACGGUAAAAAAAUUAGCUCUUAUAAUCACUACCGAACAGACCCAAAAAACUAACUUUUAUAUAGUUAAAAAGUUGAAAAAAAAAUUUGACGAGAUCACGUGUAAAAUUAUUUUAUUAAAAAAAUGUAAUUAAAAUUUAAUUUAAAAAAAUAAUGAUGGAAAUAGGAAUUGAAUGUAUAUUGGUUUUUUUUUUUUUAUUUAUUCUCGUUUCUAAAAUUCAGCUCCGAUUUGGCAAUAACUUUCUAAAACAUUUUUUUUUUUCAAAUUUACUUUCAAUCACACAUUUCAUGAUAUCCAGUUUUAUCAACUUUUUACUUAAAAAAUUUCAUUAAUUUUCAAAAUUUACUAAAACCUUAUUAACAAAAUGAAACAGGGGCUUAAUUACAAUAAUACUACCAGGACUACUCAUGAGAAAAAAAUAAGUUAAAAAACUCCAAAACCUGGUAGUUGAUCUAACUAAAAAGAUAAACCUAGGUGCAUAAGUAGUGACUAGCAUUAUUUGUCGUUGGACGGCCCAAAGGAUGCCAAGAGUAAGUCAGUUUUGGGGACCGAAGGCAGUUCUUCGUGCCUUGGACACGUAGCUUACCGAAUCAGUUGCGACAAAUAUGGGAAUGCAUGCUACGAAAGAUAGGUUCAAGUCUGAUACAUCAACCAUCUACUCAAUAUCCUUGUACAAGUCCACAAUCACUGCACGAGAUGAACCUUGGUUUUUUGAAUUGAAAUUGGCCUCAAGUGUAAUAGGACUCCCAGUUACUGCGCGUGAUCGUAUACGAGGUGCUCCCCAUGAAUUAUAAUUUCCCCUCUAUAAUAGAUAAAUUACCAUUAAUUUUGCCAUUUGAAAAAAAUAAAAUAAAAAGUGGGUUCAUUCAAUAGCAAUUAUCAAGAUAUAUCAGAAUCCAGUAACCAAGAAAUGAUAUAGUUACAAUAACAUUCACAGACCUCAGAGGAGGUAUCAUACAAAGUUCAGCAAAGAGUUAAUGUUCUCUGGUUAAAGUGCAACUUGGAACCAGUAGCUUUCACCGUUUACCUAUACAAUUUCAAAAAUUCAUUCUGUUUAUCCUUUUCUUGUUGCCAAUGUUUUGGCAUGAGAUGAUUUGCAAAUAUAAUUGGAGUGUCACUCUCUUUUACCCUCUUCUGUUUCUUCUUCUGAAUCAGAUGUCUCGCUGUCAUCCUUCCUGUCUUGCUUCACUAAACUGAUACCUUUUGGAGUUUCUCUACACAAGGAUUCUUCUUCUUCAUUGUCCAUCUCGUCUCCCUUGCCAUCCGAAUAUGCAUAACUGGCAGGAGUUGUCGUAAAAUUGAGACAAAAUAGUUCCACGGAAUAAAGACAAUAUUCAAUGAAAGUGUAGAUAAAAAGUGGGUAAUAGUUGUGAAUGUGUGAAGAAAAUUAAUAUAUGACUGUGACUUCAAGUUAUAAGGGUAACACUGAAACACAAACACACUAAACCUACCGCUGGGAGCUUUGUGAUGGAGCCCAGAGAUAGCAGAUAACACACAGCAAGGCAAAUGCAAGAAUGUCCCAGAAAGCAGUGAUAAUCCAGGCACUCUGCCACCUCUCAUUGAAUGGAUCUGUUGCUUUAAAGUAAACCUGCAAUAAUAAAAGUCACCAAUUAAUGAUUUUAAUUUCAUAAUGAUUUUAUGAGAGUUUCAAGAAGUUGGCCAUUCAGUUUCUCUCUCUUUUCCCAUCAUUUCUUCUAGGUGCUCCAAAAUUAGAGAGAGCUACCUAUAUUCACAUCUAGCAACCAAUACUCGAGUAACAAAAACUAAUAAGUAGCAUGCAUUAGCACAGGUUCAGCUACUUUUCCUUGGCAUUAGCACAGGUUCAGCUACUUUUCCCAUCAUUUCUUCUAGGUGCUCCAAAAUUAGAGAGAGCUACCUAUAUUCACAUCUAGCAACCAAUACUCGAGUAACAAAAACUAAUAAGUAGCAUGCAUUAGCACAGGUUCAGCUACUUUUCCUUGGCAUAAAACGUGGUGAGGGACAGAAGGUUUUACCGAAAAGACCUACCUUUCAAACUUAUUGUGGAAAACAUUCUCACAUUUCAUUUUUUGACAUUUUUGCCCUUAUUUCCACUUUUCUUUGCGCUAAACGUCCCUUUUUACCAUUUUUAACGUAAAAUGACCAAAAUACCCUUCUAUUUAAACAAAACAAAAAAAGAAAAGAAAAGAAAAAAAUUGCAACUAGAAGCCCAAACUUUACAUAUGUGCAAAUCAGCCCAAAAUUGGGAAAAAAAAAAAAAAAAGGUCACUAAACCACCUUAAAUCGACCACCACUUUGAAGCUAAAUAACUCCGGCCAACCACCGCCGAAACCAUCGGACCUCCAUACCGCCGGAUAGCCCUCACUCCCCUAUACACAUACCACCCAACAUCCAAUUACCAUGUCAACAAAUUUGGUAGAAAUUGCAAACCAAAAUAUCGAACUUGCAAAUACAAAUACGGGGCGACACCACCUGUUCCGACAAGACUCAUGCCAUUCCCAACAUUCUAGUCAAAUAUACACACCAAGACGUCCCUGUCCAUGGUCCUCAAAUGUCAUUUAAUUCACGCAAUCAAACCAAAAAGGCUGCAGCUUCGAACACAGCCAUUUCACUGUUUUCCGGGGAAUUGUUCGACGCCGGUGGUGGGACCCAUGAUCGGGGACCACUACCUCAAGUACCUACUCCUCAUGGCGCAUCCAAUGAGCAUAUGGGUCUUCCCCAAUUUUGCAUGGACAUGGCAGUUCAUUCAAAAAACGGAGAAAACACCAAACCCUUCUAUCCCAUUUUAAUUGGUGUUCCUCCACACCUACAACCAACAAAUUGCUCCAACUAGAAUACAAUUCAAAGUGUAACGACUCUAGGUAGUGAAUCAAUUGCUGUAAUUCACCAUUCAAACGAAGCAAUUCAGAAUUUUUGACCAACAGUGGAAUGGGAGUGGGGGGUGAGGUGUGGAAGACGUGUUUUUUUAUUUUUGGGUUGAUUUGCACAUGUGGAAAGUUUGGGCUUAUAGUUUCAAUUUUAUUUUAUUUUUUGUUUAAAUAGAAGGGUAUUUUGGUCAUUUUACGUCAAAAAAUGGUAAAAAGAACGUUUAGCGCAAAGAAAGGUGAAAAUAGGAGCAAAAAUGCCAAAAAAAUGAAAGGUAGGGACGUUUUCCAUAAUAAGCUUGAAAGUUAUAGACGUUUUGUGCCAAUUACUCUUUCUUAAACUAGCAAGUAACUAACGGGUGAGAGCACAUAGUGGGUCUUCAAAUUGAAUGGCAAAAUGGUGAUCUGUCACGAUAUAUCUCUAAUUGCAAAAUUUUAAAUUUCACGAAUGGUGAGUCUUCUAGCAGCACCUUGGGAUGGAAUAGACUAAUAAGGUCGAGGUUUAAACAAGGAAAGGCUUACAGUGAAUACCUAGGCACCUUGAGACGUGGAAGCACCAUCACAGGGAUUGGGAACAAUCGAGCAACAAUACCAAGUAUUCCUUGUAAUAUCGAAAUCUAAUGCCACUAGUAAUUGUAACAACCGAUCCAAAUAUGUCUUUCUAUAUACAGAGAUUAUCAUUAGUAUACCUUCAAAAAAGACGGUAUUUUCACAACAGGAAUGGUUUAUUCUUUUAAAUGAUGGAUAGAAGUAUAGCACUAAGAUUUCACAGAGAUGAAUUUGAGGUCUAGAUCCUAACUUUCAAAUACAGAAGAAAUAAGAAGGGAGAAUUUUAUAAAGAAUGUGUGUAAUUUCCUCUCUCUCUCAUUAGAUAGCUUUAUGGCAAAAUGGAAAACACAUUUCCUUGAUAAAACAUGGAAUCACUGAGUCAGAUAAGGUUCAUUUACCUUUUCUAAUCUUAAUAUUAAAACAGUAAAAUUCUAUACUGUAGUUAUAAUAGUGCAGAUAUUCAACACAAUAAAGAAGCCCAGAAGAUAUUGAAAAAUGUCCCAAAAAGAAAAUAACAACUUGAAAAGUGUUUCAUUUAUGGAGUAUUUACCUCGUAUCCUAUCCACACAACUGAUGCUAUAACUGUAACUGCUAGUGCAUUUGAAAAUUUUCUGUAAAUAUCCAAUUUAAUAGAACUCCUUUUAGCCUGAAAAGGAAAGAUAUUAUAGUAAGAACAUGACAUAUGCUGAGUGUUAGAUUUAUCAGAGAAAAAUCGAGAUUUCAUAACAAUACCACAGUGAAGCUAAGUAAGAGUUCAAACUGAAAGUGGGAUGUAUGGUACCUGUAGUUGCUCUAGCGUCUUUGAAAGAGAAGUGAAAAUCCACAAGAUCAAAAAGGCAUCCAAAAAUGCAACAGGAAGGACCAGAAAAACUCUGGCUCGCCCUGCUAUGUCAUUUAUAAUUCCCACAUACUCGGUGAUGUUGAGCAGUUCUGAUGCUAGGAAAUAAGUUAUUCCGAGGAGCAGCACCUUUGUUGUCAGACCACCAAGGGUUGGACGGACAACACCAUAGCCCAUUGCCACAGAAAGAAUAAGAAGGCGCGAAACAGUUUUUCUUAUAGCUCCAAUUGUCACAACCCAAGUGGUGAUUCCUACUGGCCUUGUUCCCGUGUUGUUAAAGUAUGCGUAGUCUAUGUACCAGAAGGUCAUCUCCAACAACCCAAGAGCAAUUACGGAAGUAAUGCAGUGCUGUAGUAGUAAAACAUCGUUCCAAUGUCUCCCAUACUGAAAGAACCAGAUGAGACUGAGGAUAGCAUACCCGAUGGACAUAAAGACAUAAAAUUUCAUCAGGGGGGCCAUUCUCCCAGGUAAAUAGCCAUCAGGAUUUUUCCACACUGUCCUCCCUGUCACCCUCAUUCCCUUUAGUUUCGGAUCACAUGUUAUAAAGAAUAAGUUGUACAUACCAGUCCUUUUUAUGUUAAUUUCCUUAUUCUUUUUCAUAUGGGUGGAUAACAUGGUUCCUCUAAAAUGAACAUUCACAACAACAGGCCAGUUAUUAUCAGCUGGUGAAGAUGUUCUGAUAACUUCUCCUUCUUUGCAACCUUCCAGCUUGGCAAGAUCAGAGGUGCAACAAAUAGACCUCUGUCCACCAUAAGCAGAUCCGCCAAUAUUAUCACGAUCAGCAGCCUCAAAUAUUAUAACUUGAACCAACCCACUCCUGUAUGCCAUAUUUGGGUGCUGAUCAGCAGCUUCUUUACUCCUCCAAAAUGUGAUGUUCUCAAAUCUAGAUUAAUUUGAAUGUUUCAGUUUAUGUAACUAACUAGGAUAACAAUAUCAUAAUUGAGUAAAAAAGAGUCAUGAUUGCAGUUCUUUCAUUUUCCUAUCAUGAACAAAAGAGAAAGAAAAUAAAAGUCUUGAUUGGAUAUUGGUUGCUAGACAGAAUAAAUAAGUGCUUGUAAGUUUUCAAGAUAAUUAAGUUGUGCACUUCAGAAGAUAAAAAUAUGUAAUCCAAUUGGCAUAGAUUCGACCAGAGGAGGCAAUUUAAUCCAAUCCAAGCUCGCAAUAUUUAGAUUCAACAAAAAUGAACUGUGUCGAAACCACAUAUGCGACAUGGUAUAAGAAUUAUAAACCCCAACCUUGCCCCCAGGGCACAUCUCCAAGUGAUAAAAGGGGAGGGUGGAGAAAUUCAGCUUUGCUUGAGGCUGCUGCGUCAAGGGUUCGAAUUCUAAAAUAUGGAUUUGACUCUUGGGUAAAUACAAGUGUACAAGCAACCUUCCACCCUGUACCCUCCACCUUGGAGGCAUAACCUACGAUUUACCUCCCUCACGAUACUUCAAGGCAAGUGCGGUGGGGGACCUUUAAGGUUGGGGUUCAACCUUUUUAUAAACCCCAACCUUGAUGAAGAGGAAAAUUCAAGCGUAAGCAAUCUAUUCAACCCACCAAUUAUUCAGCUCAACCACCGACAGCCAGAUUCAAAAAUUUAGCUCACUACCACUGACCAGCCUAUUUCAGUUUAGCUCCCUGAAUUUCGAAAUCUCGUAAUGACAACAAAGCGUGUGAAAGCAUCCAACACAUUUUGUUUCCCUCCUCAGUUUUCCCGACAACAAAAAAUAAAGCUCGUCAAAUUCAAAUAAUGCAUACAAGUGCGAGGGUAGAUCUGAUUAAAUAUCAUUAACUAAUUAAUUUUGUGCGUGAUAGAGAUGAAUCUAAUAUGUAAAUGUCGCACACAUAUACAUCUCAGAGACUGUAAUUACAGCUCACUACCACUGACCAGCCUAUUUCAGUUUAGCUCCCUGAAUUUCGAAAUCUCGUAAUGACAACAAAGCGUGUGAAAGCAUCUAACACAUUUUGUUUCCCUCCUCAGUUUUCCCGACAACAAAAAAUAAAGCUCGUCAAAUUCGAAUAAUGCAUACAAGUGCGAGGGUAGAUCUGAUUAAAUAUCAUUAACUAAUUAAUUUUGUGCGUGAUAGAGAUGAAUCUAAUAUGUAAAUGUCGCACACAUAUACAUCUCAGAGACUGUAAUUACCGAAUGUAAGAGCGACUAUCACUCGAAGCGGCGACGCCUUCACUGCCGCCGGAGAGCAAAUAAGCAGUGCCGACUUCUCUGACUGAAUCUCGAUCAUAGAUGUGAAUUGAGGCAUCAGCUGAUCUAAGAGCUGAUAUUAAUAAUAUUACUGAAAAUAGCAAUAUGAGAAUGGCGCACUGAUUUGAAGUGCUGCUCGCGAACCCCAUGGAGACGUGAGACAAACACUAAAUCCCUAUUUUGUAGAGAGAGAAAGAGGUAGAUCGGAGAAAUCGUGAAGCAAAGAGUGGGUGACCUAAAGAGUAAACUAGAAAUCAAGCAAGCGACAGAGAAGAUCUUGGCGAGAGGGACAUAUCACCACACGCCUAUUAAACCGAGGGACUGCUGCCUUGUUUCGAAUUUAUCAUGUUCAUGUUUGGCUAAACUUCCAAAGUAAAAAUAAGAUUUAGCCAGUUUGAUGCCCUCGGGGCACGUUCCAACUGAUAAAGAACGGAGUUUUUCAAGACGGGCAGUUUAGAGGUCGCGGGUUCGAUUCAUGAUGCUCUUGAAAGGCAAGACUUUCUCCUGGAAGGCAGAAUAUUUCCUGAAAGACUGGAGUUACUUAAAAGUCAAGGCGCAUACAUGGGUUUGAUUCGCUCGACACUUUUUGCAGUUCAAUUGGGGAGGCUCAUGGACCCUAGCUAGUUUGGGACACAACCCGCGAUUUACCUAGUUUGUGUGAAGAGGGGCUGGAUCGUAGACCCCAGGAUUAGUCGCUGUAAGGUAGACACCUGGAUAUAAAUAAAAAAAAAAAAGAUUUAGCCAAUUUGACAGUCACUACUUGGAAAAAAGUUAAUAUUUUAAGUAAUAAUUUUUAGAAGAAUGUGUGAUUAUAUAGUAGGAAAAAAAUUUAAAUUUACAGGUAAAAUAUUUUUUUAUGUAAAUGUAUAGUUGAAAAUGAAUAUAUAGAAAAAAAAUUCAAAUAAUAAUUGUCAAACGGUAUUGAUAUAAUUGUAUUGACGUUCUUUCAAUUUUCAUUAGAGCACUAAACUUCAAUUUUAGUAAUAGCAUCAAACUUUAAUUUAAUUGCAAUUAAGUAGCUCAAAUUGAAUUUUGUCAAUCUACAGAAAUGAUUAGCGGACUGUUAAACCCCUGUUUGAUAUCUUUUACUUUAAUUUGAUUUAUUUCUUAUACUCAUAUUUAAUUACACAUUUACAUAUUAGAAUAUUUUACACGUAAAUUUUUUAUUUUUAUUUUUAAACAAUGUAUUCUUCAAAAAAAAUUAUUCAAAACGAUGUUUUUUCAAUGGCGCUACAUGGACAGGCUUAAAACCAAGGUAAAAAAAGGGUGGUGUGGCCUUAGAAGAGACACCACCAAAACCAAACGAAAGACAACUUUCAAAAUUUGGAAAUGUAAACCCACAAAACGUGUACCCUGAAUAUACCCACAAAAUCCAUUUCUUCCUAAAUCGAAAUCCACACCCUAACCUUCUUUGGCCGAACUUCAAUCGAAGGUGACGCCACCGCUUUAGCAGCAAUUCCAGCACUAUUUGGCCACUGAACGUGUUAAGACUUGAGAUCCAUCUUACUAAGACAAGGUCAACCUUUUUAAAUGGAGAAAUUUAAGAUCUUUAUAAAUUGGUGUUUAUUUCGUUAUUAAAUUGAUGUGAGAUAACACAUCUCUUAACAGACCCCCUCAAGAUAGUGGCUCAUUUGAGCAGAUCAAUCUUAAAAUUUACAGGAUGGCUCUGAUACCAUGUUAAGACUUGGGGUCAACCUUAAUAAAUGAAGAAGUCCAAGAUCUUUAUAAAUUGGUAUUUAUUUCGGUAUUAAACCGAUGUGGGAUAACACAUCUCUUAACAGAACGCUUCAUUCUUUGCCCGCAUUUGAAUUAGUGAAGGUUUUUCCUCUGCUUCGGGUGCACUUCGAGCCUUGGUUUCACUGCCUCUCCUUUUACCAUCUCCGCCCACCCGCUAAAUCAGCACUCUGAUUCUCGCCGUCUCCCGUCAAUUUUGACCUGUUUGGGUUGCAUAGGUACAUAUGAAAAUAGCCCACAUUUUACUGUUUUCACCUCAAUUCGGACCUGGGCUAUGAAUAAAAUUUGAAUGAAUGGAGAAUCAAAAUGUAUGAGUGAGACGUUGUCUAUGAACUGUCUGUUAUGUGGGUGUGUUAAAAGAGCUGGGGUUUAAUAUCCCUAUGUUUGCUUGAAGGUUGACGUUGAUGGUAUGAGUAGAUCUAUGGGUCCUCUUGUCUCGUAAUAUCCCAUUGAUUAGGAUAAGCAUUUGUGUUGAUCAUAAAAUGAUCGAUUGCAAAUUUGAACUUAAAAAGCGAAAGGGGCCUCCUGGGAUUAUUAUGACAUAUCACCACACGCCUAUUAAACCGAGGGACUGCUGCCUUGUUUCGAAUUUAUCAUGUUCAUGUUUGGCUAAACUUCCAAAAGUAAAAAUAAGAUUUAGCCAGUUUGAUGCUCCCAGGGCACGUUCCAACUGGUAGAGGACGGAGUUCUUCAAGACGGGCAGUUCAGAAGUAGCGGGUUCGAUUCACGGUACUCUUGAAAGACAAGACUUUCUUCUGGAAGUCAGGAUAUUUCCUAGAAGGCCGGAGUUACUUAAAAGUCAAGGCGCAUACAUGGAUUUGACUCGCUCGGCACUUUUUGCAGUUCAGUUGGGGAGGCUCUUGAACCCUGACUAGUUUGGGGCACAAUCUGCGAUUUACCUAGUUUGCGUGAAAAGGGGAUAGAUCGUAGAUCCCAAAAUUAGUUGCUGGAAGGUAGACACCUAGGUAUAAAAAAAAAUAAAAAAAUAAAAAGAUUUAGCCAAUUUGACAGUCACUACUUGGAAAAAAGUUAAUAUUUUAAGUAAUAAUUUUUAGAAGAAUGUGUAAUUAUAUAGUAGGAAAAAAAUUUAAAUUUACAGGUAAAAUAUUUUAAAUUUAGAGGUAAAAUAUUUUUUUAUGUAAAUAUAUAGUUAAAAAUGAAUAUAUAGAAAAAAAUUUCAAAUAAUAAUUGUCAAACGGUAUUGAGAUAAUUGUAUUGACGUUCUUUCAACUUUCAUUAGAGCACUAAACUUCAAUUUUAGUAAUAGCAUCAAACUUUAAUUUAAUUGCAAUUAAGUAGCUCAAAUUGAAUUUUGUCAAUCUACAGAAAUGAUUAGCGGACUGUUAAACCCCUGUUUGAUAUCUUUUAUUUUAAUUUGAUUUAUUUCUCAUACUCAUAUUUAAUUACACAUUUACAUAUUAAAAUAUUUUACACGUAAAUUUUUUAUUUUUAUUUUUAAAUAAUGUAUUCUUCAAAAAAAAUUAUUCAAAACGAUGUUUUCUCAAUGGCGCUACAUGGACAGGCUUAAAACCCAGGUAAAAAAAGGGUGGUGUGGCCUUAGAAAGAGACACCACCAAAACCAAACGAAAGACAACUUUCAAAAAUUGGAAAUGUAAACCCACAAAACGUGUACCCUGAAUAUACCCACAAAAUCCAUUUCUCCCUAAAUCGAAAUCCACACCCUAACCUUCUUAGGCCGAACUUCAAUCGAAGGUGACGCGACCGCUUUAGCAGCAAUUCCAGCACUAUUUGGCCACUGAACGUGUUAAGACUUGGGGUCCAUCUUAAUAAGAUAAGGUCAACCUUUUUAAAUGGAGAAGUUCAAGAUCUUUAUAAAUUGGUGUUUAUUUCGGUAUUAAAUUGAUGUGAGAUAACACAUCUCUUAACAGACCCCCUCAAGAUGGUGGCUCGUUUGAGCAGACCAAUCUUAAAAUUUAAAGGGUGGCUCUGACACAUGUUAAGACUUGGGGUCAACCUUAAUAAAUGAAGAAGUCGAAGAUCCUUAUAAAUUGGUAUUUAUUUCGGUAUUAAAUCGAUGUGGGAUAACACAUCUCUUAACAGAACGCUUCAUUCUUUGCCCGCAUUUGAAUUAGUGAAGGUUUUUGAAGGUGACGCGACCGCUUUAGCAGCAAUUCCAGCACUAUUUGGCCACUGAACAUGUUAAAACUUGGGAUCCAUCUUAAUAAGAUAAGGUCAACCUUUUUAAAUGGAGAAGUUCAAGAUCGUUAUAAAUUGGUGUUUAUUUCGGUAUUAAAUUGAUGUGAGAUAACACAUUUCUUAACAGAACCCCUCAAGAUGGUGGCUCAUUUGAGCAGACCAAUCUUAAAAUUUAUAGGGUGGCUCUGACAACAUGUUAAGACUUGGGGUCAACCUUAAUAAAUGAAGAAGUCCAAGAUCUUUAUAAAUUGGUAUUUAUUUCGGUAUUAAACCGAUGUGAGAUAACACAUCUCUUAAUAGAACGCUUCAUUCGUUGCCCGCAUUUGAAUUAGUGAAGGUUUUUCCUCUGCUUCGGGUGCACUUCGAGCCUUUGUUUCACUGCCUCUCCUUUUACCAUCUCCGCCCACCCGCUAAAUCAGCACUCUGAUUCUCGCCGUCUCCCGUCAAUUUUGACCUGUUUGGGUUGCAUAGGUACACAUGAAAAUAGCCCACAUUUUACUAUUUUCACCUCAAUUCGGACCUUCGCUAUGAAUAAAAUUUGAAUGAAUGGAGAAUCAAAAUGUAUGAGUGAGACGUUGUUUAUGAACUAUCUGUUAUGUGGGUGUGUUAAAAGAGCUGGGGUUUAAUAUCCCUAUGUUUGCUCGAAGGUUGACGUUGAUGGUAUGAGUAGAUCUAUGGGUCCUCUUGUCUCGUAAUAUCCCAUUGAUUAGGAUAGGCAUUUGUGUUGAUCAUAAAAUGAUAAAUUGCAAAUUUGAACUUAAAAAGAGAAAGGGGCCUCCUGGGAUUAUUACAAGUCGGUAAGGGUCUCAUUGAUUCAACGAUGACGAUAAGUAACGAACAUGGUUUAGUGGAUAAUAAAAAUACUCUUUUGCCAUUUAAAGUAAUUGAGCUUAUCUAUUUCUUGAUUUAUUGAACUGUGAUGCAAUUGGUUUAUUGGAUCAUUUAUGCUUGGUUUACAUAUGCUUGUUUAUUUGAGUCGAUUGUGAUCCAUGGUUUAUUCUCCUCAUAGAAUGGGUGGAAGGAAUUAUGGAAUUUGCCACAGUUGUCGAGCAUAAGGUCACUCCUUUGCCGAAUGUCCACAAAAAUGCCAAUGCCCAUUAUGCAAGCAUGGAUUCGAGAAGUGUUUUGUGGUGAAGAAAGAGACACCCAACAAAGGGCAAUUAUUUCUUUAUUGCAGUGAUAAUUGCGGAUUUUGGAACUGGGUGGUGAAAGAAAAAUCAAGAGGUUAAUCCUCUAGCAGUGGCACUUCCUCAGCUAACACGACGACGAAUGGAAGAGUUGGAGAUAUAGAACGAAUUUUCCAAUCUCGAGUUCGCCUCAAUGACGAAGACGAACUACAAAUUUCGAUGAUCGUGACGAUUUGCAAGGCAAAAUGUAGUACGAAAGAGAAUGCAAAAGAAAAUGGGUCGACAUGAUUAGUAGAAAUUAAUCAAACGGGUUAUGACAUGGAAAUUUUUGCAAUUUCAAAAUCUUCCCAUCAAGGGGAUUUAGGCAUGUAAAUCUUCUAUUUUGUGAUGUUGUGUAAGAUUGUUUUCGCAUUUCGACUUAGCAGGACAAUGUUAACAUCCGUGUUUCUUACUCGAUGCUUUGAAGUGCUUAUAAUGUUAAGGAUUUCUAUAAAUUGAAGCACUUGGCAUGAUACCCAUCGUACCAAAGACAUGACAUCAACGCUAAUGGGGAUUGCACUUAAUAGAUCAUCAGGAAAAGUUAAUAAAUUUUCUUCACAAACCAAACAUUCGAGGGAUGAAAUAAAGAUUACAAACCAUCACAUAGGAGAUGUAAACAAACACGCACAAAUAAAGACUAUCAUGCAUGCACUGAAGUCAUGUGUUGAACAACCACACAAAAUUAUUUGUGUCUUUGUUCGAUACCAAACCAUAGCCUAAUAGUGUUGAUUGUCUGUGAUAAUUGACGCCAAUAACUAGGGUGAAUGACAUGUCGUACUUAUUAGUGAGAUACGUGGUAUCAAAAGUCAACACAUCACCAAACUCCUUAUAUGUCUGUUUGCAUCGAUAAUAUGUCCAAAAUGCAUUUCUAAGAAGCGACUCGUCAUCCAAAUCCAUAUUAAAAGUAAAAUACUGAACAUUGUGCUUGCAUUUUUUAGAAAUAUGCUUGUAUUACUGCGGCAAGAUUGUGCUUUAUAAAUUUUUUUCUUUGUUUUAAAAAUUAUUUUAUUUGACUUUAGUUUAGCACAAAAGUAAAAAAUAACUUUAUCCGCUAAAGAUUUAAAUAAGAUUUAAGUUACAAUAUUAUUUAUAUUAUGUAAUUAUGAUUUUGAGAUUUAUCGUUUUGUUAGAAACUUCGAAAAGUAUGUAUGAAGUUUUUAUGAAUAUAUUAAGUAUAAAUUGCCUACUCGAAAGUUGAAACUAUUAAAAAUAGUCUAGCUUUUGUAUUUUGAAAACUUGAAAAUUGUAUAAUUGACUAAUUAUAUGAAUUAUCAAGUAAAUAUAGUAUUUUAUAAUUUUAGAUAUUUGGUAUGUAUUAUUUUGACUAUUAAACGAUAUUUAAAAUGGUUAAGUAUUUAAAAUAAUAAUAAAAACAAGUAACGACUUUUUACAUUUAAGUCUCGCCUAGACUUGUAAAGCUUAAAGUUUGACUUUCAUGUCUAGUCAUAUUUUGCGCUUUUUAGAACGUCAACCCUGUCUAACCGCCGCGCAACAAUUGCCCACUUUCACCCCCAUUCGAGGCCUAGGCUCGUAAAUAUUGAAGUUUGACCUUUACAUUUAAUCGUGCUUUUACGUUUUCAGAACACUAAUCGUGAAUAAGCACUAGCCACUACCAACAAUUUCUCGCCUUCAUCCCAUUUUGAAAUUCCUACUUCGCUUUGCUUCGCUUUGACUUCCGUUCUCUAGGUCUGCAACCUAGCGUCUCCAAUAAAAUGACUUUUUACAUGAAACGACUACUUAUAUUAGAAGAUCGAACAUGAAAAAAAUAUUCAAGUAGCAUUGAGUGAAUGAUGGCAUAACAAUGUAGCUCUUGGAGCUCUGAAUGUUUAUGUAGACUUGGUAAAAGAACAACAAGACUAACAAUAGAAAUAUGACAAAUUUCACUACCCUUCGGAUCUAGACAUAUUCUUUCACACCUAUUGAAUGUCCACAUUUGUUGCACGUAUGCAGAAUCUCUAUGCAUCCUUGGCCAAAUGUGACAAUCAAAUCCACAUCCACGCACACGAACAUUAUGCCUUUUUGCAAGGGCUCCCACUACUUGCAUGUCCGCACUAAGUCAUUUACAUAAGCAAUCAUAAAACACUACCCUUUAAAAAGUCGAAACCACACAUCUGCCAAAAACCACCUCAAAUUGACACCUAGGGGAUGAAUGUGGAAUCUUAAAGAAAAUCACCAAUUUUGUUGUCAAACAUCAUCAUAGUUCAUAUAUGAAAGUUCAUGCCCAAUCUUGUCCUCGCGACUGACGAGCUCUUCCCUUGGUCGAGGAGUUCUUCCCUUGGUCGAGGGACAUAGGAUAUGAUAGGUUUCACUUGUCCUUAGGGAUGUCAAACAGGUUGAGUGGCUCGUCGGCUCGUCAAAACCCGACUCGUGGGCAGCUCAGGUUCGUCAUUAGGGGCUUAAUCCCAUGAGCCGAGCCUACUCGACUUGUUGAGCCCACGAGCCAUUUUGACAAACCCACGAGCCGAGCUCGUGGGCUCGUCAAAAAAUAUUAAUUUUUUUUAAAAUGUCCAAAAUAUGCAAAUUUACAAAAAAAAUUAAAAAUUUAAAAAAUCACGAGCUCACGAGCAGCUCGUGGCCCGAGCCGAACUCAUCCACGAGCAAGCUGGGCUCAUCUUCCACAAACCACGAGUCGAGCUCGUGGGUUAAAGAGCCGAGCCGACUCGACUCGACCCAUUGUCAUCAUUACUUGCCCUUCUAAACUGGACACUUGAUUGAGGAUAUGAUGGUGCAUUUUAGUCGUCAAUUGAGCCUCACCAAGUAACUUCCCCGUCUUUUUUCUUUUUCUUAAAAUUUUUUUUUAAAUUAACGAGCAUUUUUUUUCGUUUGUUUUUUAUCCCCCUCUUUACUUCUUGGAAAAUGCCUAUUGUAUAGGCCAGUUUCACAUGGCAUGUACAGCCCCUCACAUGUUGGGUGAGGGGAUGUGGAUGGGUGAUUAUUAAAAAAAAAAAAUUAUCCCACUCCCCCUAUAAUGUGUGUGGCCUGUACAAGGCCUUAUGAAAUAGGGCCUGUACAGGCAGCAGAACCCUUACUUCUUUAUUUGUUUUUUCACUUUUAAGUAUUUCCCUACUGUUUUUGGAAAGUGAGCAUUGCACAAAUCCACAGGGCCUGCACAGGCAAUAGAACCCUUACUUCUUUAUUUGCUUUCUCACUUUUAAGUGUGAUGCUCCCAUAGCUACCAACUCACGAUCUCGACCUAUAGUAGCCCAACAUCAACCUGCUCCCAAACCAUCAAAAGUGAGGUUGGGGUUCUUAGGUUGGGGUACGUUCUUUUCGACGAACUCAUAUGCUCUUGUCCCACUCUUUCCAAUAAUCGAGAAGAGUGAAAAUUCUAUUUAGACCACAAUCCUUACCCUAUUGGACUCUUUCUCUAACUCAAACAAUAGUUGAACACUUGGAAUGAAACAAUAACUCUUCAUCCUACGAGGAUAAGGAUCUCACAUGAUUAAAUCCUUUUAGGACUCUAUCAUCAGCACCUAUAAAUACAUAACCCGGGCUCAUUCUUGAGGUACAUUUUUCAUUAUCUCCAGUUUAUAGCCUUAUGCACUAAAUUCCCUAUCCGAUUUAAGAAUCGGAGGGGCGACGAGUAUACACAUCGUUCCCUUUGUUUCAGGUAUUCGAAGAUCGUUCCUGUUCAUCCAAGCUCGAAGUUUGAUCAUCAAGUUCGAGAUCAUUCAGGUACUAUUUUUUGGUAGCAUUAUUGGCACCGUCUGUGGUCAAUACACGUUCAAGUCUUUCUCUAGUAAGCUCAUCCAUCCCGGAUAACCCUUCUCCUCCUGAGGAACGCAUGUCCCUCAAGAAGAAUCGUCGGAGAUGCCAACACCUCCUCAAGCUGUUGUUUUCGCCGGAACUUUUGAGGAACUUGGUCAGCAAAUGGCUGCAUUAAUCUAAUUGUUAAGCCAUAGAAAUUCGCACCCAUCGCAUACCCCCACCCUCGAAGGUGGUUUUAUGGUAGAUGCCCGGGCUCGAGUCCGUCGAACAACUCAUAAUGACGGCGGGGUUGGAACUUCAAGUGCACCGCAAGUGGCUUAAGGUUCAAGGUCCGUUACAAUGGACUCCACUGAACUUGCUAGAAUUAUUCAAGAAGGGAUAGCAGUGGGUAUGCAACAAAAUCUCGAGCAGUAACAGGGUUUACCCGCAAUACGCCAUUCAUUCCAGAAGCCCUCUCGCAUCCUCUCCUCGACAAGUUCAAGUAUCCUCGAAUAAAGAAGUACGAUGGGAUAACCGACCCUAUCAAUCAUCUCAAUCUGUACAUGGAUAUCAUGAACUUACAGGUUGCACCAGAUGCAGUAAUGUGCAAGGCCUUCCCUCAGACCCUCACAAACACAGCUACAGAUUGGUUUUCCACAUUGGAACCCAACUCUAUCGCCUCCUUCUCAGAUUUGGCUAAUAAGUUCUCCACUUUCUUUGUAAGCAGCAAGCGAAUUAGAAAGACAACCUCAUCACUCAUGCAAAUGCGUUAACGGCCCAACGAGACACUGCGCAGUUUCAAGACCAGGUUUAAUAAAGAAAGGCUUCAGAUCCCCGAUCUACAUACCACAGUCGCAGUCUCAGCUUUGACAUAUACCAUUAAGUGUGAAGCAUUCAAGAUGUCUCUGUCUAAGACCCCACCGAAGUCUGUAAUCGAGCUAUUCACACAAGCUGAGAAGUGCAUCAAUAUGGAAGAAACCAUGGCACCAAAAAGAGAAGUUUCCUCAUCAGGAAAGUCUGAUCAGAAAAGGUCGCAUGAGUCAAGUCUGAGACAAGAUGUACCUUGAGUCAAGCCAAGGUAGGACCCCCCUCAACCUCCUUUACCCGUUUGAACACCUCGAGGUCCAACAUUCUGAUGGAGAUCAAUGAUUCAAAGGAGCUGAAGUGGCCUCCUAGGUUACGAUCUCGAUCCGAUACUCGUGACAACAGUAAGUACUGUGAUUUCCAUAGAGAUCAUAGACGUACAACGGAAGAUUGUUUCGCCUUGAAGCGGGAGAUUGAAACUCUUAUAAAAAGGGGAUUUUUGGGCUCUUACAUUAGUAACAACAAGCGCCCAAGGAAUAAUUAGAAAAGAGACAAGGACCCAAAGGGUCGGGAAAACAAGCAACCAAUGUGGUACUAUCAAUAUCAUUGUCGGAGGAAUAGCCUCGGGUGGAGAUUCUAGUAGCGGGUUUAAACAAUAUGCCAGGCAGCCUCCAGCCAUCUCAAAAUCAGACCUCGAUUAUAUAGACGACAUCACUUUUGGAACAGGGGACUUGGAUGGCAUAGCAUUCCUUCAUGAUGAUGCUCUGGUCAUAUCGACCAUCAUCGCCAACUUUGAAGUUAAGAAAAUUCUGAUAGACAAUGGAAGUAUAGCUAAUGUACUGUCUCAUGAAGCCUUUGUUCAAAUGGGGAUCUCAUUGGAACAGCUCAGGCCAGUGAGAACGCCUUUCCAAGGGUUCGGAGGUAGGGUCAUCACCCCAAAAGGUAUCGUCGAGUUGCCUUUAACAUUGUGAACAGAAAAUAAAUAGAUAAUGCAGAUCACCACUUUCGAAGUUAUCCGAACUCCAGUGGCCUACGACGCCAUAUUGGGAAGAUCACUGCUCAACGAAAUUCAAGCUAUUGUCUCAACUUUCCACCUGGCUAUGAAGUUUCCUACGAGCACUAGAAUCGAGGUAGUUCGAGGCAGCCAAAUAGUAGCAUGACAGUGUUAUGUGACUAGUGUUCGAAAAUCAAGAACGACAUUAUGCAAGUUACAGAGCUAGAGCUCGAGCAUGAAAAUCAAGAGAGACUAGCUCCGGUGGAAGGAUUGAAAGAGGUCAAGCUUGAGCCUAGUAGGAAAGUGACAAUCGGUAGGGGGUUAGAUACAGCAGUCAUGUCUAAACUACUGAAUUGUCUCUCCCACAACAUUGAUGUAUUCGUUUGGAAUGUUAAGGACACAUCUGGAAUUGACCCAGAGGUUGCGGUGUACAGAUUGAAUGUAAAACUGGAGAUAAGACUUGUAAAGUAAAGGAAAAGGCAAUUUGCACUAGAAAGAUGAGAAGUCAUAAAGGAAAAAAUUGCUAAGCUUGUUAAGGCAUAGUUCAUUCGGGAAGUCCAGUAUCUUGAUUGGCUCGCCAAUGUGGUUCUUGUAAAAAAGGCUAGCGAAAAGUGACGAGUCUGCAUUAACUUCACAGAUCUGAAUAAAGCAUGCCCCGAGGACAGUUAUCCUCUACCUCGAAUUGACAAUCUUGUGGAUAACACGUCAGGUCAUAUGUUGUACAUCUUCUUGGAUGCAUUUUCGAGGGUAUCACCAAAUACUCAUUGCGGAAGAAGACCUCAUUCAUGACAGAAUCAAAACUUAUUGCUAUAGGGUCAUGCCUUUUAGACUGAAGAAUGCUGGAGCAACGUAUCAAAGGUUGGUAAACAAGAUCUUCGCCGAACUAAUUGGGAAAACAAUCGAAGCAUAUGUGGAUGAUAUGGUGAUUAAGAGCAAACAGGUGAAUGGUCAUGUCUCUGAUCUUGAGGAAGUGUUUGCUACAUUGCGAAAGUACAACAUAAAGCUUAACCCUACAAAGUGUGCAUUUGGGGUGGCAUCUGGAAAGUUUUUGGGUUUUAUGAUUAUGCACAGAGGAAUAGAGACUAACCCUGAUAAAAUCCAAGCUCUGAUGAGUAUGGAAGCCCCUAAGUGCAAAAGAGACAUUCAGAAGUUGACAAGUCGCGUAAUUGUACUGAACAUGUUUGUUUCUCGGGCAGCGGACAAGUGUUUCCCCUUUUUCAAACUACUUCGGGGAAAUAAAAGCUUUGACUGGAACAAGGAAUGCAACUUAGCUUUUCAGGAGCUCGAGUAGACGUUAUCAACACCUCCAGUCCUUACCAAACCCAAACCCGGUGACACGUUGCUAUUAUACUUGCCAUUUCUCAGAAUGCAGUAAGCGGGGUCUUGGUAAAGGAAAAAGGAAGAGUUUAGCAGCCUAUCUAUUAUGUAAGUAAAGUACUCAUUAAUGUAGAGACACUAUACAAACUUGCAGAACAGCUCGCCCUCGCUUUGGUAAUAGCUGCCAGAAAAUUACGGUCGUACUUUCAGUCACAUCCAAUUGUUGUGCUUACUAACCAACUUCUUAGGCACAUACUCCAGAAGCUGGACAUCAUAGGAAGACUGUUGAAAUGGGCAAUUGAACUUGGCGAAUUUGACAUGGAGUGCAAGCCACAACCUGUAAUCAAGGCUUAAGCUUUGGCUGACUUCAUAGCAGAGCUCACUCUAAGGCCCUCAGAAACACAGGCUAAAGACCCGAGCAUGACCUUGAAAAUAUGGGAGAUCUUUGUAGAUGGAGCAUCCAAUAGCUCAGGCUUGGGGACCGGCAUCAUCAUCACAAGUCCGGACAAGACUAUGGAGAUACAAUGUGCGCUCAGAUUUGAAUUCGAGGCCACCAAUAAUGAAGCAGAGUAUGAAGUCGUUAUCAUAGCCCUAGAGCUUGCGAAAAAUCUUGAUCUGGAGUGUGUCAAAAUUUCCAGCGACUCACAGCUAGUGGUCGGGCAAAUCGAGGGGUCUUUCGAAAGAAAGGACGAAAAGAUAAGCAUAUACUGUCUGAAAGUGCAUGACUUCCAGAGACAGUUCGUAGGUUUGAAAUCCUGAAGAUAGCCAGAGCUGAUAACGCCAAAGCUGAUGCAUUAUCUAGACUCGUCUUCAUAGGUGUGGACGUGCUUGAUAGAACCGUACACAUUAAGAUGGUUGUAGAACCAGCAUAGUUCAAAAGCUAAGUGCCAUGGACAUCGAUCAUAAGCCCUCCUGGAAAGAUCCAGUAGUUGAUUACAUAAGUAAUGGUAACCUACCCGCAGACCCUCGGCUUGCUAGGAGUAUUCGGUAUAGAGCUACUAGAUAUUGUCUAAUUGAAGUAGUUUUGUUCCGCAGAAGUUUUACACUCCCUUAUCUAAGAUAUCUCAAACAUUCCAAAUCUCUUCAAGCCUUAACUGAAGUUCAUGAAUGUGUUUAUGGAAAUCACCAAGGAGCUCGAGCUCUUGUAUAUAAGUUGAUAAGAUAUGGGUAGUAUUGGCCAAGUUUGAAGAAAGAUGUUGCAGAUUAUGUUCGAAAAUGUGACAAGUGCCAAAAGUUUGGCAAUAUCAUUCAUGAUCCAACUGAGGAGCUAACUUCUAUUCAUUACUCAUCUCCCUUCGAACAAUGAGGAGUCGACAUCAUUUGGCCAUACCCCUUGGCCAGAGGAUAAUUAAAGUUUGUAGCUGUGACAGUGGAGUAUUUCACAAAAUGGGUAGAGGCUGAACCACUAGCAACAAUUUCGGAGCCGAAGCUCAAUUUAUUCAUAUGGAAGUCCAUUGUAUGCAGGUUUGGAAUACCGAAGGUCCUCAUCACAGAUAACGGAAGGCAAUUCGACAAUCCACAGUUCAGGAGCUUUUGUGCCAACCAUGGGAUUGAUUAUCGCUUGACCUCGGUGUCACACCCACAAAGUAAUGGGCUUGGCGAAGUAACUAAUCAGAUCAUAUUACAGGACCUAUGAACAAGAAUAGUGGAUGCCAAAGGCGGCUGGCCUGAUGAGCUGCCUUCUAUAAUAUAGGCGUACAUAACUUCUUUCAUGCUUGCUUUUGGACUUGAGGCUACCAUUCCAAUCGAGGUCAACCUCCCCACAAUAAGGAAGCUCGAGAUGAAUAGAGAGAAACAAACUACUGAACACCUUGACUUGCUUGAAGAAGUAAGAGAGCUAGCCUUAUUUAGAGCUGCAAAUUAUCAUAACAAAACGGUGAGGCACUUUAACAACAGGGUCCAGACAAUGAGGUUUAGAGCUGGCGAUCUCAUCCUUAGAAAAGUAGAAACUGCCGGACACCUACCAGGGAAGCUCGGACCAAUAUGGGAAGGACCCUUUGAGGUCAUUAGAAAAUUAAAAGGUAGAGCUUACAGUCUAAGUGACACAUCAGAGAAGCCAUUCCCAAGGCCAUGAAACGCCGACAAUCUUAAAAUUUAUUACAAAUAACUAGUUAUGACUAUAAUUUUUCCUUUUAAGGCUUGCAUGCCCACUUUAUGUUUGCUUUAUUUCAUUUUUACUUUUCGGGCUCUAACGCCCUAACAACUCAUGCUCGAAUAAGAUCGGGUAUCAACGCCCUUGAGCCCUUUUAAUAAUACACAAAAUUGUCUUUACGAUGUUGCUUCCCUAUUAACAAAAUUAGCAUAAGGCCGUGCUCCACGCAUGCAGCUAAUACCUUAACAAAAUUAGUGUAAGGCCAUGCACCUAAUACCUUAACAAAAUUAGUGUAAGGCCGUGCCCCGCGCAUGCAACUAAUACCUUAACAAAGUUAGUGUAAGGCUGUGCUCCGCGCAUGCAGCUAAUACCUUAACAAAGUUAGCAUAAGGUCGUGCUCCACGCAUGCAGCUAAUACCUUAACAAAAUUAGCGUAAGGUCGUGCUCAACGCAUGCUGCUAAUACCUUAACAAAAUUAGCAUAAGGUCGUGCCCCCGCAUGCAGCUAACACUCGACCAAUAGAAUCAAACACACACUGCCAAGACAUCAAACGACAAAAGGUCGGGAUCAACAGACCCUGACCUAUCCGAUCUUAGAAAGUCAUGAUAAUGAAAAUGAUCAAGAUCGAGGUCGGGGUAUGAAAUAACGUUUAUCUUGCGAGACCAUACGGGAUCUUGUCCAUAAAAAAAAUUUGUUUAAAUUACGAGGGACAAGCCCAAGCUUAUCCAUUAAAUGGUCAGCGACCUAAUCGUCGCUCCUCGAUAUGGGAAAUUGAAAAAUUAGUUUAUAGUACAGGACAUUAAUACUCGAACUUGUUGACCCCAAACGUAACGCUCCUACUCGAGGCCUUAAAAUACAUCCUGGAGCUUAGAUGAAGCCCAAUUUUUCAAGUAAAAGGAUCGAUCUGUUGAUAGUCUCGACGGACGAUAUUAUUAAGACAUACUAUAUCCCCAAACUACUACACACACCCGGGCUACAUACAUUCUAGUAUUGAUUAUGACAUAUAUCUAUACUAACGACAGAACUCUUAACAUUUAUAACAGCUCGAAUUUAAAAAUCACAACAUCCACACACGAACAUAAAAUACGUGCACGAUCUCGGGACAAAAGCAAGUUGCAUGAACUGAUAACAAAAAACCUGUCAAAGAUCAAAGCACAGUUCGAGCAAUAUACUUUAGCAAAAAAUCAAAAGUUCAUAAGCCCAGAUUGGGCAAAGUACAUAAACAAAAAGAAAAGUUACAAUAAUGUCUAUCUCGGGGUCGAAGUAAGGGCCUAAUCUAGAUCGAUGGGGUUGCUCCCGCCUCCAUGGUCAAAGGUCCUAGCAUCGUCGUCGUCGUCGUCCCCAUCGGCCUCUAAAGAAGAAAGCUCGAGGUCCUUGGUGAGCUCAUUCAUAGUCUUUAGCUCCUCGACCACGGGCUUCAAGUCUUCUGGGAGCUUGGUCCGGAGGAAUGAACGAGCUAGUUGCAACCCGUAGUAAUACGAGCCAGACCCGUACUAGCCCAGAAGAGUCCUGAACUCAUCAGACUGCUUGAACUCCUCGAUGGCCUGAGUUCUAGCCUCUGCCCGAGGUUUCACCAGCUUCUCCUCAAAAGCACUCCAGGAUUGAAGGAGCUCGAGCUUUGGCUUCUCGACCUCGUCCCUUGCCACCCCGACCUCGUCCUUGGCUUUCUUAAGGUCCGCGUUGGCCACCUCUAAGGCCCUUUCGAGCUCGUGGGCCCUCUUACAAGCCAUCUCGCUCUUGGCCUCGAGCUCGGCUAUUUCAGUUGAGAAAUUCAAGCCCUAGAGCCCCAGACCUCAAGCUACGCUUAGUAUCUGUAAAAACAAGUGUUGUACCCGAAGUCAGGUCGAGGACAAAAACUUAUCAAUGACAAUAGAAGUAACCAUGUUAAAAGCAAACCUUCAGAGUAAGGAGCUCGAGGGUCUAAACCCAUUCAUUUGAAUCGACCUCCUUCUCAUACUUGUCAACUAUGCUCGGGAUAAGAGCACAAUCAGCAUACUCCUCAAGCGACUUAGUGGGCAUCGGAUCAUCGUCAUCAGCAAGGAGGUCCAGCCUAAAUGUGGGAGUACGAGCUCGAGCUUGCUGCUGAGGCGUGGGCUGGCUUGGAGGGGUCAGGCUUUUCGAGCUCCGCCCAGACUCGUCGGGGUAGGACGGGCAGUCCCCCUAGCCCGUUUCUUCCCCUUGGAUGGAGCAGUUAUUGGGGUUUUAGACUUCGGGCCCCUUGCCUUCUGAUGUACAUUGUCCAAAAGUACGGAUGGAUCGAAAGACAUUUCAAGAUCUUCAAAAAAAGAUGACAAGACAUUAGCUUGAACUAUAGGUCGAUGCUUAGGCCUGAAAUUACAAAAUAAAAAAUAAAAAAUCAUACCCUCGAGGCCUUUCACAUUGGCAAGGUCAAGUGUGUCAUCCUCGAGUAGAUAGUCAAUUUUCUCUGCCAAAGGAUCGUGAUUCACUAACCUCAGCCUAUCUAUUUCUAAAACCUUGAAAUAGACCUGACCUUCAUUGAACCUAUCCUUAUCAGGAAUUUUCCACUUCGGGCUAAAAGGAUGGUCUGGGUCUUGGGGCUUCACAAAAAAGAAUCGUUCAUUCCAACCCCUGAGAGAGCUCGGGGUCUCAGGAGUUCUAAACCCCCCAUUGGUGGAUAAAUAAACAAAACAGUUAUAGCCCGAAGAGAAUUUCAUGUCAAAAACCAUCCGUAGUAGGUCGAGUCUAGGUUCAACCUCAAGACACCUACAUAGUAUAAGAAAUACACUAACAACCUCCAGCCGUUCAAGGCUAGUUGCCCCGGGCAAAGGUAGUACGAGGUCAGAAAAUGGAUGAAAAAUGGGUGAAAGGGCCACCUAAGCCUAACCUUAAAAGCGUCUCUGAAAAAGGUCAUCUCUCCCUCUCGAGCUCCUAACACAGUCUUAGUUGGCCUUGGGACUCUUAUGUCACAGAUAGGCAUGACCCCGAAUUCUAUAGCUAUUUUAAUAACCACAUGCUCCUUUUACUUGGUCGGUUCUUUGGGGUAUAUCGGGUCGUCAGUAUGGGAAUUAACAGGGAUGGCCAUAGGAAUAAUCGAAGUACCUAAGUCCUCAGGCCUAUCUCUAUGGUUCGAGUCUCUACGUUCCGGGCUACUAGACCCCGUACUACCACUACUUGACAUUAUACUAUAAUCAAAUAAAACAACUCAAAGGCUCGAACUCUUACCUCUAUNCACAAACCCACUAAUCCCCGAACUCGAGCUCGAUUUACUGAGAGAUGAGAGUGAAAAGUGAAAAAUGGAGGUGAAAGUUGGGGCAUUUAUAGGGGACUGUGGAAUACCAACGGUCAUGCAAUCUCAACCCUUGGACUAAGACACGUAGAGGCCAUCUAAGGUUGUGCUCUGACAUUACACCUGGUAGCCAUCUAAGGUCGUGCUCUGACAUCCCGUUGAACGCCUAACACGUGGAAAGACACCUAGGCAUUUAUGCCUCUACAUCUUCACUCGUAGUUCAAACUUGAACCGCAAUCUACGACCUCGAUGCACGGGGGCCUGUGAUGCUCCCAUAUCUACCAACCCACGAUCUCGACCUGUAUUAGCCUGACCUCAACCUACUCCUAAACCAUCAAAAGUGAGGUCGGGGUAUGUUCUUUUCGAAGAACUCAUAUGCUCUUGCCCCACUCUUUCCAAUAACGUAGAAGAGUGCAAAUUCUAUUUUAGACCACAAUCCUUACCCUAUUGGACUCCUUCUCUGACUCAAACAAUGGUUGAACACUCGGAAUGAAACACUAACUCCUCAUCCUACGAGGAUAAGGAUCUCACAUGAUUAAAUCCUUCUUGGACUCUAUCAUCAGCACCUAUAAAUACAUAACAUGUGCUCAUUCUUGAGGUACGUUUUUUCAUUAUCUCCAAUUUAUAGCUUCAAGGCGACGAGGACACACCUCGUUGCUUUUGUUUCAGGUAUUCAAAGAUCGUUCCUGUUCAUCCAAACUCGAAGUUCAAUCAUCAAGCUCGAGAUAAUUCAGGUACUAUUUUUGGAUAGCAUUAAAGUGUUUCCGUACUGUUUGCACAAAUGACUCGAUCCCAAAUGAACUAUACACUCCACAAAACACUCAUUAUCAAAAAAUUACACUACAGUGACUAAACGCACAAGUUUAUAGCCUCAACCCAAAUUUCCAGGACCUGUUCUCCGGCGGGCAGAAGCCUGGAAAAAGGGGUAAACAUACGCCGGCGGUAGCUUAGAAAACCAGAUGAGGACCAGACCAACAGCCGUGUUCAUGGCCUUUGGCACCAAAGGCGACGUAUUUCCCAUCGCUGUAAUUGUCUCCCUCUAUUUCUACUCCUCAUAUUUGUUGUAUACACGUAUAAAUAGGGGAGAAAUGCGCGCGAGUUACUUUCCCUACUCUCCGAUAUACCAUUUCUCUUUCAAUUUCCCAUAGAGAUCGUUUAUUUAAUAAUUACAAGAUAUUAUUUAUUAAUUGCAUAUCCAGGCCAUAGCUGCUGCGUUUGCUUCUGAUCAGCAUCAGUAUUAUGACGUUGCAUUCAUAACCCAUUCAGCACACGAGGUUAGCAUACCGUUAAUAAUAAUUGUAAACUGAUUGUUUCGGUCAGUUGUAUAAAUUAGUUAUUUUUAUGAAAUGCAUCAUGAUUUGUAAUAGCUAAUGAUCACUGGUCAAAUGUAUCUGUUGGAAUUGAAUGGUGGAGUUUUGCAAUCUCAUCACAUGCAAUUGUGCUUUGUCUUAACCAGUUUUACAAGACAUACAAUUGAUUGAAUAUGGUACUUUUACCCAAGAAACGGUUAUAUUUUCAGAUAAAGUUUUUGAAUUCCAAUUUCAAGCCCCAUCGCUGUGCCAUUGAAUAUGGCACAGAUUUGAUUCUGUGGAAAGGCGGGCAUGGAGCAAAUAUUAUGUAAAGGAACUUAUUUUGGUAGUCUUUUUGGUUUCUGUGAAAUUGGUUUGUGAUCCCUCACAUCAUUUAGAUACUAGAUGCUAUGCUUCAAUGCUAUGUAAAUGCUGAAUGCAUCUAUAAGGAAAAGCGCAUGAAAUGAAGAAAAUUUCUUAGGAUUAGAUCUCCAAGGUUUAUCAUAAAUUUGUUGUUUUGCUCUUUCUGAAACAAUACACUGCCCUAGCAGCAAUUUCCCAUCAUGACCUUAUGACUGCAAAUUCAGUUUGAAGGAAGUUGAAUACCAGUGUCCUUUUUCCAGUAAUGUUUAAUUUUGUUUAAUAUAUAUGUAGAAGUUUAGUUCAUAUUUUAUCUUUGCUAUUUGGUAUUCCAUCAAAAUCGUCAACAUUCAGCCGUAAUGGUUACACUUUUCUUUGACAGAACCUGGGAGUGCGGUUGGGAGCAAAGAGAGUUGCAUAUUUCCCAGUUUCAUCACCACCAGUUCUAUCUCCUUGUGAAGAUAGUGAUACUUCAGGUCUUGAGAGCUGAUUUUUCUCUAGCUAGAACUAGCAAAUAGUGGAAAGCAAGCUUUCCAUCUACAGUUUUAAAAACAAUGAACAUGUUAUGACCUUACCAUCUAAAAUUGCUUCUGUUGUUCUAGGGUCCACAAAGGUCUCCUUUUCUCUACGGAAGGAGGAAAUCACUAGAAAACAAAGAAAGGAAUGUGUUUCAAUUGUUGAAAGGAUAUUUGAAGAGAGCCCAAGCUUGGAGGGUGAUGUUAUCAUUAUAAAUUUCUUUGCUCUGGUACAUUUAGGAAAAAAGUUCUAUACUAUUGGUGAUUUCAUAUAUAUAUUUUAAUCUUAAAAUACAUAGAACCAAAAGUCCAAAGGAAAUUCAAGUUCUUUGCAGAAGAAAAGAAAAAAAAAUUGUACAAUCCUUAUGAGCACAUACUUGUGUUGUAACGACCCGGGUCUCUGUACUCAAGCCGUUAGUUUAAGUACUGUCCGCUUUAAGUGGGUUUUGCGCUCACUUACCCCUCACGGCUUUCUGUCGCAUCCCAAGAUUUGAACUCAACUCAUAACAUUUCCCUUAAAUAAGACUUAAAUUGAAUCCUAAUACCAAUUGGAUAACUUGUCCAAUUGGUACCAGGAUUCAACUUAAGUCUUAUUUAAGGGAAAUGUUAUGAGUUCGAAUCUUGGGGGACGCGAUAGAAAGCCGUGAGGGGUAAGUAGGUUUUUUUUUUUUGUAAUGACCCGAGUCUUUGUAUCCGAAUCGUUAACUUACGUACUGUCCGCUUUGGGUGGGUCUUGCACCCACUUACCCCCUACGGCUUUCUGUCGCGUCCCCAUGAUUCGAACUCACAACCUUUCCCUUAAGUAAGACUUAAGUUGAAUACUGAUACCAAUUAGGGUAAGUGGGCGCAAGACCCAUCCAAAGUAGACAGUACGUAAACUAACGGCUUGGAUGCAGAGACUCGGGUCUUUACAUGUGUUGUCGAUCCUUUGAUCAUUAGGACAUGGAGAAAAGAAUUUUGGAAUUUCUCAAUAAUUGGGAAAGAAGGCGACCAAUCUUUUUAAUGGUCUGCUCCAAAAAUUUUUGAUUGAAGUCAUGAGCACGUGUAUGGACAUGCAUAAUAAGGCUUAAAAUUUAGUCUCUGAAUUUUAUAAAGGUCUGUCAUCCCCCAUCCUGAUGUUUCUGAAGAGUUUAUCACUGAAGAAAUUGUAUUUUAUUAAUUAAGACACGUGUAUAAUUUAAUUGCCUGGCAAAGACACCGAUGCUACUCUUAUUCUAUUUUGCUCAAAGAAAGCAACAGGGCCCAUAAUACUAGUACUCACUCUCCUGUGCUUUAUAGCCUAUCACUUAUUCUCUCUCAUUGACCCACUAUCCCAGUAUCUUCCUCUUCACUCAUACACUCAAAUCCUAUAUUUAUAGGUGGUGAAGUCGGCUUAGUAACUGACUUUGUUACUCUAGAUAAUAUUAGUAUGUAAUUAAAGAUUGUAGCUAGCAUAUUAAUUUAUGGUGGUGAAGGAACAAAAUAUAAACCAUUCUUGGAGCUUUUGCAGCUACAAAAAAUUCUAGAAUUAGGAAAUUAAUAGUUUUUCUUCUUAUGUCGGGGCUGCGUCUUCAAUUUUUUUUAUCUUUAAUGACUCAUGUUGGCUGGUUGAAGCUAGUUGUUUAGUUGAUGCAACUUCUAUUGUCCAAAAUAAUUAAAGGAACCGCCAUUUGAUUAAACUGAAAACAGUAGGUCAAAACUAUGGUCAGGAAAUUUUCGCUGCUUUUGAUAACUAAAAGUCUAUAAGUGAUGCAUAAAAGUUUAGGUACAAGUACAAUGGGAUAUUACCUGAAUAAGGUUUCCUAUGCUUUCUGGUUAGGAAGGUUGGAGUCUUGCUGAACUUUUUCAUAUCCGCUGUGUUGUUGCUGCUCCUUAUGUUGUUCCUUACAGGUUUUGCAAACCUUUCAUUUUAUAUUGCUAAACUCUGUUUACUUGUUAUUCCUUUCAUAUUAAAACCAUAACUAUGAUUCUCCUUAUUGCCCAUUGUUUGCAACAAGACAAUCAAGUUAUAUAAACUUUGAUUUAGGUUCUUUGAAGGUUCAAUUCCUUCUGAACGUCUAUGGUUUGACUUAUGAGUUAAGCCUGUAUUUGGUUUCAGUUGUUUGUACAGUUUUUAUGAGAUCCGAAGACAGCUCUUGGUAAAAAGAGUGCUGUUCUUCUUGGGUUCUUUAAAAGAAAACUUAAUGCUGGCUGGAUGGUGCCUGAUUAAGUGCUGUCUUUUCUGCUAUUUUUAGGAACUCUUCUAGGUAGCCAUAUUGUAAUAAAACUGGAGAACAUACUUUCCUUGGCCUUUGGCACUUUUAGUCAAUUAGUCAAUUGCUUUAUCUAUAUGAAAUGUAUUAACCAUUAGGUAACUAGUCUUGCGGAGAAUAAAGUUCUAAGAGUUCAUUGUUCACGAAACAAAUUUACCAAUAAUAUGGCGAAUAAUUUUUUGGGCAAAUUACAUAAACCUCCAUUGAGGUUAUGGAAUAGUAUUACAUAAAUUUGAUGGUAUUUAUUUUAGUUCAAAAUGAUUUUGCAUGUAAAUAAAAAAAAAAAUUGAGAAAUGAGAAAAAAAGGAGAAAGAGGAUACUUAAAUAUUAUUUAAUAAUAGUUUCAAAUUAUAUUAUAAAUACUUAAGGUUAAAAUAGGAAUUAAAUUUUUACUUUUUGGCUGACGGGAUGAAGUCCAUCGCAGAAAACAAACUUGAAGAGGGGUUUUUGGAAUUUUUAAAUCAUAAUGGGGGGUGUCUCUGUAUUGUCAUGAACCUCAGGGGAGGUUAUGUAAGUUACUCUAAUUCUUUUCUAUACUUUUUUGUUACCAAGGAAAAGAAGGGGGUGUGAGGUUGCUUGUUACCUGGAGCAAGGGAAGCUCUGGAUUGCAAAGGCUAUUACUAAUGGUUUCAAGAGAAAUUAUUUUUGUUCAGCUUGAGCCUGGGGACAAGUUUUUAUGGUUUGAUAGGGAUGGUUGAGAAUUUAAAUGUUGGUUUUACUUGUUAUUUACAUACAUGUUUGCAAUUGGAUCGAACUUUUGCUGGUUAGAUUUCGCUAGUAUAUUUUACGGCUUAUAUUUUGGUUAAGAUUGCUACUGUAUGGGGAACAUGGCAUAAAAUGUACACGGUGGUGAAGUUUGGGCUUUUGAACUCCAUGAUAUCAUGGUACUUAUUCUUCCACUGUGUGACAUGCCGGAGAUUUCAUUUUUUUGGAGAGAUCUCCGUCUUUCAAUAUAUUAACUUUCCUAAACGUUAUUAUCAAGAGAGUGGGGAAGACAGCUAUUUGAAUAUUCCUGAUACAGUGAAAUAUUGUUUCUUCUCUUCUCAGCAUUUUUCUUCCUCAUGUUAUGUAUUUUAUAAUAACUUCUAUUCUGUCUAAUGCAUAAACACACACUUUUACCACACGUAAAGACACAUUCAUAACUAUUUUUUCCCUGUUAAGGUACCCUUUUUUUAUUGAUAGCUGUAUUGAAAAUAUCUCUGAUCUUUCCUACCCUUGUUUGUCCUUGAGUCCAAUGUAAUUUAUCAAAGAAAUUACAUUCGUUUAUAAUGUUAAAUUCUUUUCUAUUUCCAUGCAACCAGUGCCCCCUCCUCUUUUGAACGUCAAUUCAGGAAAGAAUUUCCUCUUCUGUAUAAAUAUCUCAAAGAAGCUCCAGCAGAUAUGGUAAGAGAUGAGAUAAUUUUCAAUUUUCAAGCUUUCGUACUUCCUUUGUUCUUCUUACAUAAUGAUUAUAACUUGAACAGACUUGUAGAAGCAACAUCUCCUCCACCUCAUAUGUAUGUAGAAAGAGAUUUGGGUACAGGAGUUGUUCUCUGUUUGAUGUUUACAACUAACCACUUGCAUCUCAUUUUUUUUGUCGUAGGUUGGCUGGGAAGAUGUUCUCCACUGGAUGUGGCCACUUUUUACAGAUGAUUGGGGAUUGUGGAGAAGUCUUGAUCUGAAGCUGAGCACCUGUCCUUUCACGGUGUGUUAUAUGGCCCAUAAAAUGUUUCUUGUGAUGUGUUCUUAGAUGGAAUGGGUAAGGUAUUAGUGUUUAUUUACUAACUUCAUGCAUUUUUAUUGCUUGGGCUGCUUGUCUUUGGAUCCAGGAUCCUGUAACUGGCCUUCCGACUUGGCAUGAAAGGCCUUCAUCUCCACUGCUAUUGUAAGCAUAUUCUCCAUUUCAAAGCCAUAAUGGAACAGUGUAAAAUUUUACAAGAAAUAGUUCAGCUAAACUUAGAAUAAUACUAUCUAAUUCUGUUGGCAUCCCAAAAUUCACUCAAGGAGCGUUCAUUUUUUUGUGGUUAUUUAGCAAUUUAAAAGAUUUGCUCCGAAAUUUGUUUUGGAUCUGUGUUUCUUUUUCUGAUUAUUGUAUAGCUCCAUUUUUUGUAUCUUUUUUUAUCAGAAGUUUUGAAUAGGACUUGAAAAAAAUAUCUUUCAAGAGAGACCAAGUGGUGAUAAGUUGGUUGAUGUUGAAUGAGUUCUUCUUGAUAAAUGGCAUCAGAUCUAGCAACUCUUCGUCUCUCUCUCUCACACACGCAUUGAUUCUCACUCUCUCUUUGCUCUGUCUUCAUAUCUCUAUUCUCUUUCUCACUGUACUCAGCAAUUCUUUACAUGUAUCUUCUGUUAUAAGGUUAUUAAAAUGUGAGUGUAGUAUAAUAUUUUCUGAUCCAUUGCUGCCUUCACUGACAGGUAUGGAUUUAGCAAAGAAAUUGUUGAGUGCCCUGGUAAUUUCUAAUGCAUUUUCUUGUAUUUAAUGUCAGUCAAAUUGAAUAAGAUUACAGAGAUCGUCGAAAAUUACGGUCAGAUGCUAUUGUAUCAUUACAAUUGUAUUAUAUAUAGAUAGAUUGUUUUUACUAUAUUUAAAUUAUAGGUUUCCAUUAGUUAAAAUUGUAAUUGAUUGCUAUCAUAUUUAAUGGUGAUUUUGGUUCUAUAUAAUGAGAAAACUUUUCACAUGGAGAGGCAUCGAACCUUGUUGAGUAUUAUUGACCAUAUUUGACCGGGUAUCAGAGCCUCUUCCUUAGAAUUUUCUCUCGUUUUCUUUGUUGGGUUUUCUCACGAUAGGAAGCUCCUCCCAUCCGGUCUUCAUCGAAUUGUCAACUAUUUUCUUUUCAUGUUCACUUUUGUUUUAACGAAUUGAGGAAGUAAUUCAAAAUCAGCCUCAAAUUAGGAGUCUGUGUCUUGGCUUUAGGUCCACGGAGGGAGAGGGCAGCAGCGUCAUAGGCCAUGGCAGCUUCAACAGCAAAAAAUAAUAGCAUUACACCAAAAUUCAUCAAUACGAUUCGCUAGAAUUUAUAACCUCAUAUUUUCCUACAAUCUGAUGUUUCCUAUAAAUCAUAGUAAGGAUCAACAGACGCUGGGAAAGUCACUCCAAGUUGCUAGAAAUCAUAUCCCAUCUGCGGCUGUAGGACAUUAAUAGGCACAUAUCUCUCUUAACUUUUGUUCAGAGACAGUAGCCAUAAUUGUAGCUGGACCAGAUUUAGCCACGGAAAUACCUAGUCGAGUAGAAGAAGUGUUUGAUGAAUAUUGGGCAGAACACCGUCAUUCGCAACUGUCACCCAACCCAACAACUUGCUCAACUCCUCAUCAUUUCUCACAACCAACUGAAUAUGCCUCGGAAUCAUCCAAUUCUUCUUGUUGUCUCUUGCAGCAUUCCGAGCAAGCUCCAAUAACACAAUAGAAACUUCAGAGACUUCGUGUCAGAGAAGAAUUGAAUGGAUUUCACGAUCUGAGAGACUUCGCGUGAGAGGAAUUAAUUUGGGAGAAAUGGAUUUUGCGACCUUAAGAGUUUGGAGAGUUUCAAAGUUCCUCCAAAUCCGUCAACUUCUCCGCCGUUCACCACCCUCACCGUCCCUGCCGCCGCAGGCAAUCAGGUUGAACGGAGGCUGUUCUUGGAAGGCAGUAGCUGAGUUCAGUAAGUGACUUAGGGGCAGAGUUCGAUGGGUAAUGGUAUGUGGUAGGCCGACCUGGUGGUUAAUUGCUGACGAUGUGGCUGGAAGCAAUUUUGGGAAGAGAGUAAGGUAGUUGGCCGGGUUAGAUGCACACAAUUACGAGGGGAUAGUAGGUUUGAGUUUGGUGGGUGUGGUUAGAGGUAUUGGCCUGGACUCGUAUUGGUCUUGAGAGAUGGUGUUUGUUUUGGGCUAUGAGAGUUGUAGCUGGGCUAUUGGGUAGUGGAGCCGUCAUGUGAUGGGCCGUAUAUGUGGAUUGUGGAUUUAACAUCUGGGGUUGAGUUAAGCUGUGUGGGUAUUGGAGUUGUGGAUUGAAUAAUGGAUCAAGAUCUGGGUUUAGAGGAUGGGGUUUUGGAGUUUUGGGUUGGGGCUUGUUUGGGCUUAAGAAUGGAGAUUGGAGGUGUGACAAACAGAAAUUGCCCGUGGGAAUUUUUGGGUUUGCAAAGACGCUAUUAAGAAAAAAAAUAAAAAAAAAAUAAAAAUUGGUUAAGGAGGGGAGAGAGACAUGGGAUUGCAGACAUUAAAUUUUGGCUUCUCAAAUGAUGAGCUAGAAUUUUAGAUUAUCAAAUAAGGAUCUUUGGUUUUUGGUUAAGGUUGUUUUGUGAGAUUUCUUCAAAUUGUAGCAUCUUGGCUAGCAAUGUAUUAUUGGAUUUUUGGCCGGUGCAUUGGUCGUUAGAGCUUUUGUCAGAACACGAAUUAUGUGUUCAACUGAAUUUUCCCGACAAAUAGAGCUCAUUGCGUGUGUCGGCACAUUUUAUGAAUUUCUUUUAGAAUUUCUUCUUGGGGCGCGAGCUCUUUGUAAUGUCUUUGGGCUGUUCUUGGAGUGGUUUUAGAGCGGCUCUUGAUUGUUUUUGCACUAUUUGAAGUUCUUGAUUUUUCGUCGUCACUAAUUUUCAUAGAUGGUUGCUGUGAUUUAGAUUUCUUCUUUGUGAGCACGAGUAUUGUUAUCGUCGUCAGUUUGUGAUUGCACCAGCAUUAAUUUGAGGGCGGAUGUCAAUGAGAUUGAAUAAGAUUAUGGAGAUCGUCGAAGAUUACGGCUUGACGUAUAUUUUAUCAUUAUAAUUGUAUUAUAUAUAAAUAGAUUACUUUUACUAUAUUUAAAUUAUAGGUUACAUUAAUUAAUAUUGUAAUUGAUUGCUAUUUAGUGAUGAUUUUGGUUCUAUAUAAUGAGAGAACCUCUCACAUCGAGGGGUAUCGAGUUUUAUUGAGUAUUAUUCACUAUAUUUGACAUUUAAUUCCAUGAGCAUAAAGCGGCUUCCCUGAUUGUAAUAAAUCUUGUUGUCCCUAAGUUGCUGUUUGUGGAUUUUGUAUUUAUUCCUUCAGUGAAACGUGUUUGUUAAGAUAAAUUUUUGAAUUUUAAAUUUUAUCACAAAUAAAUUCAUUUUAUGCAAAAUCUUAUUCAAGAUAUCUUUACUCAAUGAUUUUACUCAGAAGAGGAAAUCAUAGAGUAAUUCUUAUCAUGUGAUUUUCAUUCAUUGAGGAUUUUCUAGUCCCACCUGAAUAAAAAAAUCGUGAUUGUGUAUGAAAGAAGCUGAUUGCUUAGUAUAUCUGCAAAAGAGCUAGUCAAAAACUUCAUGAUAUCAAUGCCGUUUAAAGCAGAACAAUGAUCAGAUUAGGAAAUCUUGGCCAUAAAUCAUACACAUGCUUGAGUGGAAUCAUCUCAGUGCCGCCUUGUUUGAUCAAUGGUUGCUGCAAUUGUUGUAUUUUUUUGGCAAUAAAUUGUUUUUUCAAGAUUGUCAACUGCUAACUGUACAAUAGGUACAGAAAGCAAUAUGUUAAUGGUUAACCGUCUAAAGUAAAAAUGGGGCAGUAGAAGAGCCAGUUCUUCUGUACCAUUGCCAAGGCUAUGGUUUCCAAUAUGGUUAUUCUAGUUUAGUGGGAGCUAGGAGUGCACAUAUACAUCAACAUUUAUAUAGGGGGUUUUCUGUGUCUUCAUUUAACUCCAAAAUCCUGUUGUCCUUUAACAAUUUUACCAAUAGUCCAUGGGAGUAGGAUUUGUUGAUAUCAACAAAUUAUAAUUCAAGGAGAAUAUCAAAUUGAUGCUUGAAAAGUGUCUUGCUUAAAGACCUAACCUGUGAAAAGAUGCCAAAAAAUAUACAAAAUCAUCCAGUUCCAGGUCUUCUCAUAUAACAUAUAAAUUCAUCUUAAUCGUGAAGAUCUUGUUCUUGUAUUUUCACAUACAUUUUUCUGUAUAAAUCUAUUUUAUGUUUACCAUUCUAUCCAGACAACCUCCCGAUCAAGGAUUCUAAGCUUGCAUUUCAGUUCAAUGUAAGUAUGUAACCAUGCACCAGUCUUUCCUUGCCAUCAGUUUUUGGCUUAAUACCAGAAUCUGUUUUAAAUGAUCAAAGAACAUUGAACUUGCAGAUAAUAGUUAAUUACAUCAAGUUCAGUUCAAGAUUGUAAAAUAAGUAUUACUCUAGAAAAAGGCUAUGAAAUUCAUAUUGUCAUACUAUGAGUAUCCUUUUAUAUAACCUAAUGACCAACUACAGCACUGGCUCUGCAAGUAUACAUGUUUUUCUUUGCUGUUUAUGUAAAAGCUGAAUAAUACUAAAGAAAGAUUGUUGCAAAAUCAAUGAUUAUUUGGAUCUCUUGGUUUCCAGUACUUGCUUUAUUGUAACCUGUCAGCAGCCAAAGGUGCUAAGAUGAUCUUGUUUUUAACAAUGUUGACUUCAGCUGCCCUUGUUAUUUUUUGCAUAUUUGUUUUCCAUGUUUUUUGAUUUAUAUAUAAAGGGUUAUUUUUUUUACCUCCUUAGAAAACCAGAAAGCAGUAAUGCACUUGGUUUGCAUUCUCCUCCUAAGAAAUUUUUAUGUUAUUUUUGUUUGUUUCUUUCUCUCUUUUGAAAUGCUAACGUUUGGACUGGUUUAGGUUACUGGCCAUCAAGAGUUCGGGUUUGUGGCUUUUGGUUUCUUCCUGCUGAAUGGCAGUUCUCUUGCUUCAGAUGUGCAGACGCUACAUAUUUAAUGUCUUCAGAGAAGUUGAAUGUCCAAGCCAAGUUGUGUUUGGCUCACAGCAAGUUACAACAUUUUUUGGAUAGUUCACCUGAGAAACCUGUUUUCAUAAGUCUGAGUUCAGUUGGUAGGUGAGUCCAUACUUUGCAAAAGACCAUACAUUAUUUGUUUUUUUAACAUUCAUUUUCAAAUUUUUUGUUUGUUGACUCGAUUGUAGUUGGACUCUUGAAAGGUGCAGUAAAUUAUGCGAUAUGAAUGAUUUUCUUGCAUGUUCAUUGGCUGUAAUACGAGGGUUUAUUUUGUUAUGAUGUAAACUUAUUCUAGAUCUGUAGCUGUAUUUUUUUCUUGGGUAAAGUAUAACAUCUACUUUUAAAUUGUGCAUUGAUUUUUUGUAAAAUGCUCAUAAUCAUGAGAUGCUGAAUUUUGGGGAUGGACUUUAGUUUAGGAUCUUCUAGAUUUAGCAGUAUAAAUAUCUGAACCAGUACAUUCCAUAAACUCUUUACAUUUUUAUAUGAUUAUGUUCAAAUUCGUAGUACAACAUGUUUACAGGUUUACAUGAAAUUCGUAGUAACAAUGUCACUUCCCACCAUGGGAUGCCAUUCAUAUGAAUAUCCUUGCUCAAAUUUCGUAUUAAUUGGAGAGUGAUGCAUCAUCAAGCAAGUGUUAUUCUGACUGAUAGAGCUUUGAAUUAGGGCAUUUCCUUGAUGUUGCCCUGAAUUUGACCAGCGUGAUCAUGUAACCCAACUGCUAAUUCUAAAUUGUUUUUCCUACACCAGUUCCUGAUGCGACUUCUGGAUGGUCUUGUACUGUUAUAUUGGAUGUGAUUGAAUCAUUUCUCAUUGUCGAAUGCAUACAAUGGAAAAUAGUUAAGUCAUCGAGCAUCUAACAUGUAUGCACAUAUGUAGUUCACAGUUCUUAAUAUUGUAUAGUGAAUUUUGAUCGUGGAUAAGGUAGUUUUGAAAAUUUAGAAAUCUUAAUUUAUUAUUAUUUUUUUUAAUAACAAAAAUGAUGUCUUAUCUGCAGUAUGGGGUUUCUAAGGAACCCUAAAACAUUUCUUCGGAUCCUUGGAGAUUUGUUGGCUAUUACAAGUUGCAGAUUUAUUUUGUUUUCAGCUGGUUAUGAACCUUUAGAUGUCACCAUCAAAAUGUUUGCUGGAAAAGCACCGUCAGCUUCAGAACAAGUGCAAUCUAGUAAAGAUGAAACCCUCCUAUUUGAUGGCCGGCUCCUUUGCUUUUCUGGGUGAGUACUUGUACAAAUUUAUGGUUUUACACUUAAAAGACCAAUAUAUGGAGUAAAUAUGAGAGAGUAGGAUGGAGAGCACCAAUAGUUGAGAAUUCAAUAUAGGAGAAGUGAAUGUCUUUGGAUUGCAUAUAAAUAAAUAAUAAACUUAAUAGAGAAUUACAUAAAGUGAUACCACAAAAAUAGAAGAUACUAAAAACAACUCUUUUGGUACAAAAUGUAUGUUGAAUAAAUAGUAAAUGCAUUGGAGAGUUGAUUCUUCACCUGCUCCGCAACAGUUAGUCGAAUGCAUACUCGACUGCCAUCUGACAAACUGCACAUGACAUCGAUUGUCUGAAGCAUACUCAAGUACCUGAAAUGUGUUUAAUAACACUUGGCAGUUAUGUGUUCAUUUGUGUAUUUCAAUAGAAACGGAAAACUAGGUAAAAUUAUUCUGCUGCUUUGGGAAUCUUUGGCAUUUUCAAGAGCAAUUAUAUCAACCUCUUUAAUUUUGACUCUUUUGAGGAAUAAGUACAUUACUCAUCCGUAACAUUAAUUUAUCAUAGAUUGUAAACUUUCAGAUGCUCAAAUAAACUCUCUGAAUAAGAAUUGUGGUUAGUUAUAAAGACUAGAUUAUCUUGCGUGUCACACGAACAUACCUAGAUUGCUUUCAAGAAAACUCCGUAACAAACCUUUGAUUACUGAUGAGAAACAAAAGUAAUUUAAAUUUAAAACAUAUCAAAUUCUUCUCUUUAUUCUUUUUAUAUGAAUUAUUUUUUUAUCAACAUUUAACUCUUGUUUAUGGAAACAUCAUUUUCCCGGUAAUGUAUUCUAGACACAUGAAACAGUUCGAGAGACUGAUGAAUUGUUCUCUUUUUCUUUUUGGGGUUAGUAAUAUACCAUACAACUGGCUGUUUCCAAGAUGUGCUGCUGCUAUCCAUCAUGGGGGAAGGUAAGGUGUCUUAGGUUACGUUUGCCGCCCUUUUUAAUUGUUGUGAUUCUGCUGAAACAUUAUACAUACUCCCUUGUUGCUAUCUCUGCACCAGUGGGUCCACUGCUGCUGCUCUGCAAGCAGGAAUUCCUCAGGUUUGAUUCGCAACUGAGAUGUGUUUCUAUGCUUAGCUUGCUCGUUGUGUCUGGCAGCAAUCCCUGACAGUAGUUGCUCAAAGUUGUGUGAAUGGACUACUUCUAAAUCAGUCUGUAGGAGAAUAAGUAAUUGAAGAACAGUUAUUUUAAAAGAGAAAACAAGUACAUACUGGUCUCUUAACUAUCCGUAGACUUCUGAAGUUUCUUUCAUAAGCAACAGCUGCAAAAUCUAAAUCCUGAAGAAUCUUUGACAGAUACUGAAUGCAAUGCUAGGCAAAGAAAGAUUUUUCAACGGCUGUCACUUGAGAAAGAAAUCUAUGCUGCAUUGCUCCAGGAGUACAUUUAUAUUCAGUUAUUUUGAGAAAUAUAAACUUGACAUGCGUCUCUGUUAUUGCUGAAUUUAUUUUUCUGAAUAAUGGGAAAUGGAUCGCCACUGCUGGGGCAUUGUCAAACAGUUCUAAUAAGGUAGUUGUGAAUACCUUAACUAAAUCUAAAAAACCAUAUGAGCUUGAUUCUUAUUUAACUCAAACUAUGUAUUAAUUCCAUGGAGUUUUAAACCAAUAAUAUUAUCUUCCACAUUUAUAAUGGCCAAUGUGCUUCUUGAACAAUGCCACCCGAGCCACUUGCUAAAAGAUCAUUUAUGUUGCAGAAUCAAAUUUAUUUUAAGUCCAUAUAUCAAUGGCUUCUGCUUCUCUAAGCACUCAGUGGACACAGAAACUACCUGUUCUUUGAUGGCAGGUUAUCUGUCCAUUUAUGCUGGACCAGUUUUAUUGGGCAGAGAGAAUGUUUUGGCUCGGCGUUGCACCAGAGCCACUAAACAGUAACCAGUUGCUCCCAGAUAGAGAUGAUGACUGCUACAUCAAAGAAGCUGCAAAUAUGCUAGCGAGGGUCUUAAACUCUGCAUUGUCUUCUAAAGUGAAAUUGCGUGCUUCAGAGCUCGCUAAAAGAAUUUCCGAUGAGGUAUUUUUGUUUUUGCUAAUAUUCUUUCUUCAACGUGGGGAAGAUGUGCAGUUGGCAUUUGAUAUAAAUCCCUCCCUACAACUCAUGAAUUAAGAAUUCUGACAACAAGGUCUACUCGACACAAAUUAGGCGUUAACGAAACUUUUCAUGGAGUCGUACUAUUUCUCUCAAGAGCUGACUUCUUGUGUGUGUUUGCCAAUUGAACUUUUCCAGGACGGAGUUUCAGAAGCUGUACGGAUAAUUAAGGAAGAGAUAACACGUAAAGGAUGAUUUUACAAUAUCUGGUCAAGGAAAUAGAUGAUCUAUGAUCCCUCGAACCUUUCUCCGUAGGAUGUUAUAUUUAGAGAUUUUAUUAAAUCAAAUUUUCUCUGUUCAGAUGGAUGAUGAGUUCUUUGUGUCUUCAACAUAAUCCUAUAAUUUUACAACAAAACUCCUUUUUUUCUAUUUUUACUCAUUUUAGCCUAUUUGAUAUUAGGUACUAUAUAGAAACAUUGCUUCUUGUUAAAAUAAAUUGUUUUUACAAAUUUAUAUAAACUAUAUUUAAAUGAAUAUGUAAUUUUAUAAUUUAUUUAUUGUAAAUUUUACAUAAUUCCCAAAUACGAUUGACAAUAACCAUUUCAUUUACAAAUAAUUAAAUAGGAUUGAGUACGAUCUAGUUUCCUUUAGAGUUGAAUUGGACUAGUUUCAAUAUUUAAAGCAACAUAUGAAAUUAACUUUGCUAGCAAUUUAUAAAUUUUAUUUUUUCUUAUUAGUAAUAAUCUACUACAAAGUGAUAAAAAUAAGAAAACGAAAAAUGCAUUGAAUAACAUUCAAAAUUAGCUCAGCCGAAAAAUUGAUAAAAAUUAAAUUCACAAUCAACAUUUAAUUUUUAAUCUCAUAUUUUAUAUGAUGCACGACUUUUCAUUGUACAUUCAUUAACUUUUAUCAAAAUUAACAAAAAAUACCAAACUGGGCCAAGAACGGAAAAUAUUUACAGUUUUGCAACUAAAUUGAAAUUAAUCAGAGCACAUAAAUAUUUACAGUUUUGCAAGAUAUACCAGAAAAAAUUUAGUCUACAGUUCUAUGUGCAGUAACGUAACCUCAGGUGACAUACUGCAUUUGCUUGCAAUCGUGACAUGUGACGAUUAAUAAUUCGUUCUAUUUGCGAUUCCAUUUGCAGUAACGUAACCUUAGGUGACAUACUGCAAACCUAUUUGCUUGCAGUCGUGACACGUGACGAUUAAUAAAUUUUUUAUUAUAUAAAAUAAUAAGCAACUACCACGUAUAAAAAACACUAAUCGCCACAUAAAACAAAUACGAUACCCACUACAACAACAUUGUCCAUAGCCCCACCUUCCUCAAUAGUAACUAUCAUAUUCAUUAACAAUGGCUCUCCUUUUAACGAGAUCACCCAAAAACCCGAUAAAUAACAUUUGAAACUUGAAUUGGUGGGGUGCGCCAGGCCCAUGCAGCAGUGCAACGCUUGGGCGACGCUCGAAGGCCCAGGCAGCAAGCUACCAUAACGGGUCUUCCCCCUCAAAAAAUUAAUUUAAUAUCGUGUGGGUCAAUGACCCACAUAUCAGAUAUUAAACUGAUAAGAACAGAUACUACACUUGAUCUUAGCCAAAAGGCCGAGAAAGGUAUGCUUAAUUAAGUUUCAGCCCAGGCUUUUUAUAACCAAUUUCUUAAAGGCUUUUCUUCUCUCUAACCGAUGUGGGAUAAUAACGGAACGGCAUUAUUCAUGUCCUCUUCCACCCCCUAUGCCAAAUCAACAAACAAAUGUAGCACUCAAACAUCAAAUUUGUCCCCUUCAAAAUCAAUAAGUUAAUCUCAAAUCUUGAUCACUUACAAGAAAUCUGCAACUUUCAUAUGUACAUCUAAAUUAUAUUUACUCUCUGAAUAUCUUCAGGAACAAUGCACAGGAAAUUUGCAUUCAGAAAAUAAUGAAACAACAGUUGAAGUGAAAAAAUUUUACACGAGCUUUUCUCAACAUAAUUCCAUUGAUAAGAGCUAAUAUCAUUCUUUACAUAUCCUUAAAGUCCUAAUAGAGAACAGAAAACCAGUGACCAAGACCAUGAGUAACCCCAGCCCCCCUCAUCCCAAGUAUUCCACCUUUCCGAAUCAAUUCCUGCCCUACUUUAUGGCCUUUUCAUUUUGCCACCACCGUAUUUUACAAAAAAUAAAAUUACUGUAAAAUUUUUUGUGUGACUGACUGUGCAAGUCCAGCAGACUAAUGUUUUUCUACGAGUUCCAGAGCAGCGUGCUAUGAGCUAUUGUGCAACACCAUUAUCUGCACAAGGACCGUCGUCUUGAACUAUUUUCCCGACUGGAUUAUCUUCUGCCCAGAUGGAUGCAUCUAAAUAUCCAAGCUCAAAGAGCUUAUCGAGAAUAUCAUCUUCUGCUGGUUCAAGAGCCCAAUUAAAGAGCUAGGAAAUUGAGCAUAAGAACAUCAGGAUUUUAUCAGGAAAAUGGAACUAGGAAAUCAUCUCAAGUGAGGCCGAAAAUUACCUCCCUGGGACUUGCCCGGUUUUCUGGGUUGCAGUCGGGACUAAUUCCAAUCCCUUGCAAUCCCAAACGACUGGCAGGAAAAGCACAAACACGUACCUGUAACAUUUCAACAGUCAAGAUUCACUUAAUUGCCACAAGAAUAUACAGAUGGUAUUUCAAGAACGAAAGAAAAAACACACCCAUAGUUCUGAUCGAUAUAUCAUCAACAAAUAAAGCCAACCAAGAUUAUAACUGAGUCACAACCAAAUUUAAAUAUAAAACUCAAAAUUUCCAACACAACUGGACUCCACACAUUCAACUUCUUAUAAUCAGAAAAGAAGCUAUACGACACAUUCGUUACCGUUUCAAUAAAAAUAGAGAAUACCGUCUGUGCAGCCGAAGUUGGAGGCAUGAACAAGGUCAAACCCCCAUCUAUACAAAGUCGAUUACGGAACAUUGUUGCUGGCCUCGGUGCAAGAUAUCUGUAAUAAACUAAACUUUUAGUUCAACGUCCAAAUCUAGCCUAGUAGCUAAUGCAGCAAUAGAAAACGCGUACCCUGGAAUAAAUGAGGAAGUAAAGACUGCAUUAAUGAGAUCUUCUUUAGAAUCAAACUCAUCAACCAAUAAGCCCCUUGGCCUCCACAGAAUCUGUGUUACAGCAACUGAGAUGAAAUCGCAUAACAAAUUAUCAAAACCUCAUCUCUAGAUGCCGCUGAAAAGCAUUUUCAUACAUCAAAAUUAGUGCCCAAAUUACAUGAGCAGGUGCUCAUGAGAUUAGUAAAACGAAGUUGUUUGAGCUGUGUCUCAGAAGGACUAGGGCAGCACUUUUUAGGAGGUCACGAUUUUUUCUCCAAAUUAACUACACUUCGAUGGCCAUUAUACAUUGUAGAUUGCGACUGUGAACAGUGGUGUGUGCUUGUGCUGGAGGGAAAUAACAAUACUCACCACGAACCCUUCCACUAGAUCGGAUAUGAACAUCACCAGGCAGAAAUUUCUCCAGAAUAUCCCUAAGAACAGCCUGUGAAUUGAAACAUUUUCCAUAUUAAAUACCUGGAUUUUACAGUGAGAUAAAAUAAGAUAUUGUGCAAUUUUUUCUUAGUCCUCGUAUGCUAUUUUAAUCCCUCCAUACUUGAACCAAAGGAUUACUUGUUCUAUUCUUAUUCAAUUCCAGUUUUAUAACCACUGCACUCUGCAAUCCACCCGAGGUGAAAUGAUAAGAUAUACUAGUUCAGCUCACCCAUUAAACUUAUUAAUACUGGCAUUUUAAACAAAAACAAAAUGAAGCACAACAGCAGAAAGGGAAAAAGGAGAUUCAUAAGCCUUGCCACCAAUGGUCACUUAUUUAUUAGCUAUCAAAACCAUUUGUUUAAUUCAUACUGAAGGCUGAUCCCUUUUUUCUUCAAAGUUCAUCUUUAGCUAUACUGAUGAAGUUUAAUAAUACUGUUGUCCUGUUUUUAUCUAAUUAACCUCACACUCAUUAAACGUAGCACGUGCACAUACCCCGAGGCGAAAUGCAGUUCCUCGAAGUCGACAAUUUUCAGCCAGCACUUUGGUAGCUUCUAAGGCUUCCUGCAUACUGGCUCCAGAUGCAAUCACAGCACAGACAAUAGCACCUGCAGAUGAACCGGCUAAUGGUGUUGUCUCCUGUAUCAGAAACAUAUACUGAAGUCAAAGAACUAGCUAUUAUUUCUGCAUCAGAAAAUGCUUAGUAGUACUGGAAGACCCUAUACUAAAAUUAUAGAUGUAGGAGAAGAAUACUGGAGAAAGAUGAGUUUCAUGUCAUCUACAUUCAGAACUACAACAUAUAUAUAAUUAUCUCUCACAUUACAAACAGAAAAACCCCUGAAGAAAUUCUGCAGCCUCAUAUGGCAUUCAAAAGAACUGUUUCCAAUCACCAAAAGAUACCAGUGAUAUACAAUGGCGAGCAUUUUCAAUAUAUAAGCAUGGAAAUAUCAGCAAAGCAAUUAUAAGCCAAAACCAACAAGGCUUUUAAUCGGUUAAUCAAAGGUUGAAAGUUUUGAUCUUUUGUCUGGGGUAUCUCAUAUGCUGCAAGUGCAAUACCUUAACCGGUCCUUCAGAAUGUCAAGAUAAAUGCUCAAAGUAUGCAGCUUCAAUUCAAAAUACGAAAAUACGGGAUAAAAGAUUAUCUGAAUAAAGUAAGCUACUCUAAAUUUUUAAUGCUGGAUUAUCUUAAAUCUUCCAGAAAUGGUCAUAACAUUGAUUCAGAUUGCAUUUCAAUCAAAAUCAGGAAAUAAAAUUCUUUUAUAACAACAAUUCUUGACAAAUUUUAGUAUUUACUCGAAAAAUUGAUAAUAAUAAAAUAUAUUGCUGAGUCAAUAAAUAAAUGCACCUGAAAAUGUCUAUAAAGAGUAAAAUUUUCUUACUGAGACAGACAUACAAAAAGUACAGCGUUUUUCUCUAUGCAUUGGGGUUUAUCUGAUUAGGGGUGAGGUGGAACUCAUUAAAAAUUGAGACGAAGAAAGGAUGAAUGGGGAAUUGACAACCCCCAUUCAUGGUGACUUUAUACACGACUAUCUCAUGGGGGUCAAACCCGGGAAGCAUCUCCUUAGGCCUAGGGGCUCUAUAAAUAUAAUCGUCUAUUCGAUCGAACCUGUUAAGGCACUUCUCUAACUUAAGUGGAGAGUCGUAAAGACUAUAACACUUUGGAAUUUCAAGGACAACAAUCUACCCCGUCGGGUCUCGCCCAAUUUCAAAAUUCAAGUUCGAAAGCUUCGUUGAACCAAUGUGUCUUCUUGGGGAUGACGUUUGGAAUGCUACAAUUUCGGGCGAAUGGGUCGGGACUAUUGGAAUCGUGGGGAGAUCGACCGACUAUGGGGGGACCCUUGACGAGGCUGGUCGCCGGUCGACCAGCGUGAGGCCGAGAGGUCGGUACCUUUGACUAGCCUUGCUGACCAGCGCCAAUCGGCAACGCGUCGCCUGACCCAACACACAAUGGGUCGGACGACACAUUCACCCCCUCGUUUUCGCUUUCAUCGGAAGAGGAAGUUAUAAUGGUUUUGUACAUAACAAGAAGAAAGAAAAAAAAACUUGGAAUAAAAAGAAAGGAUGAGAGGAGUACCUUACUAUUGGAGACAAAGAAUUUAUGAGGGGAGAAGUGAGAAUGAGGGAGGUUCCUCCUCUUAUAUAACCAAAUAUUUUAAAAAUUUUGGAGGGAAGUUUCCCCCCAAAAGUACCAAGCCCACUUGAAAAAUGCCAUGUUUAAGGUUGUCGCUACCCAACGCCACCUAGACCGCUCGACCCAUUCAUAUUGAGCCAACUAUGGUCGAAUAUUAAAUAUUAAAAAAAAUAAAUUUGUCGAAGGUAUGGGAAGGGAAAAUAGAUGCUAACCUUUACCGAUAAAUAUCGACAAGGGAUAGAGGGGCUAAUGAUAUUGGACAUCGUUAAUUAUCAACAACAACUAACAAGACAUGAGUUCUGCCGCCACCCCACACCACCCGUGGGCAUACAACACCCAUGCCGGGCGUCGACCCCCAUGGGUGCUUUACACCCACGCCGGGCGUCAACCCUCAUGGGCACUUCGCACCCAUGCCAGGACAUCGACCUCCUAGGCGCUCUGCGCCCAUGCCAGACGUUGAACCCCUGGGCGCGCUAUACCUAUGCCGGGAUGUGGACCGCCAUGGGGCUCAUAACCACUACGCAGCCAAUACAACACUUAGCCAAAAAUCACAAUUUGGGUAGAGAUCACGCGACGGUUGUUACAAACACGACUGGCAGUUGAACGGGCGGAGGUUACCCACUAAGAACGUGAGGGUAGUGGAAGAUGUUACGUGGGAUACAUGGCACCAUAGCUGCCCGACCUUCACAUGACUCCAAUCGCCUAUAAAUACUCCAAAAGGCGAAACAUGUAAAGAUCUUGGAAAAACUUUAGUUAUUUGAAUAUCUCCUUAUUCCUUUCCUAAUUCUCCAUAAUUCGAUACUAAUUCUCACGCCAGAGGUACAACGGGGGUGAAAGCCCCGACCUCUCUUUUUCAGAUAACAAUUGAUCAUCCGAACGACGGAAGCACCCCACACCGUCAGGAGGGCAUGGAGAUUCUUUCCUUAACCAUUUCACUGGAAAAUAUUUUUACUUGAAAACUGAAUCAUAUAAAAAAUUAAAAAUGCAAAUAAAUUUGGUAUUUCAAUCAUUUUUUUCCUAAAAAUGAAAAUAGACAAGUAGAAAAAAUAAAAUAAAAAUAAAGCAUCCGUUGAACGACAAAUAAAGAGAAUAAAUUUUGUACCACAUACAUUGGCGGACCCACAAUGAGUCCUAGGAGGUCACAUGUCCCGCCAACCAAAAAAGGGCUUUUUUUUUUUUUUUUUUUCUUAAAUAAAGUUGAAAAUAAUGUAUUCAAAGAGUCCUUUCAAAUUCUAAUUCAAACCGUCCAAAUUCCAAUUGAAGCCCUCUUUCAUUGGCAUCACCAAACUGAAAUAUGGCCCUUAUUUGAGUCACAUUAUUUUUAUCAAAAUAAAAUUUUCAAGAAUGAUUUGACACAUUUCAAUCACAUAUUCUUCAUUAAAAUAAUAUUAUACACAAAUUUAAAAUUUUUCUUUGUUUUUUAACUACACAUUUUCCAUCAAUACACUAUUCAAAAAUACUUUUUUUUUUUUGCAAGAAUGGGGCUCAAGGGAAGAAUGCAAGAAAUUGUCCCACACGAGAGAAGAGAAGACUCCUAGCUCGACGGUCUCUAAUUCGAAACUUUGAAGCAAAACCUAGCAAUUCGGGACUGUCCUUGCUCACCAUUUCUGCCCGACUGAAUUCCGUCGACGAUUCAGCGAUAGCAAACGGAAAAACAGCAAGGGUCUAGUCCCGAGCGACGCUAGGCAAGAACGGAAUAUUCUGGUGCUAUAGGCCUGUGGUACACUUGGAGAAGGAGAACAGACCAGUUGCAACAGCCAACAGCCAUUGGUGCUGUUGAAUUAAAUUGCAGCUCUACGCGUACAGGUGACAAGUUCAGGUUGCCAAUUGUUUGAAUGGAUACUUUGGUUAAUAGGUUGCAAUGGUUAAAGUAUUGCUCGUUCCUCCGGAAAUGCAUGCUUCCAAAGUUAAAAAAUUGCCUAUUUCUAAAUGAGUAGUAUAAACUAAACUUUUAAUUAGUUUACCUUAAUCUCUUUACAAUCAAUAUGAAAAUCUCAAAAUUAUAAUGCUACAGAGAAAACUUCGGAGAAUUUGCACAUUCUUUUUCUAUUUUGUAAUUAAAUAAAAAAUAAAAUAUACAAAUUUAUUUAUUUGGGUGCAGGUGAACAACAUACAAAAUUACAAAUCAAGGUUAUCCUAUUCUUAUCCUAUUUGGCGUUUUCAGGUUGUUAAGGCAACAAGGUUAGCAUGUUUAAUGUUCUAAUUUGCAAUAGCCAUUUAUAUUUUUGUGAUAUCUUUAAUAUGUGAAUUUCUAUUUUUUGUCAAUUUGUGAUUUUCGAAUAUGUGAUUUGUAAAUUGUAAAUUUUGUGACGGAUAAUUGAUUUGUAAAUUGUGUUUGAGAAUUAUGUAUUUGACAGUAUCUAAAAUGAUAUAAUUAUGGAACAUUAUCAAAUUAUAUAUAUAUAUAUAUAUAUAUAUUGAAUGCACUGUAUUUGUACUUUUGAAAAUUUAUGGGGGCUUCAUAUGCAAAUUUGUUUUAUUUAAACUAGAUGACGUUUAUUAUUUAACGAUCAGUGUGAAUGAAUUUUGUUAUUUAAUUGAAAGGUUGUUUAUACUAAAAGAAAAGGUCAACGGUGUACUAAUUCCAGUAUCUUUAAAGAAUGAGGAAAUUACAAAAAGUAAGAGCUUUAAUGAUCUCAUUUCAUAAAUCAGAUUCGUAUCAAUUUUACUAUUUCAAAUGUCAGAUCUUUUAUUAAUUAAGCUCCCGUUUCAUACUUAUGUUUUUCAAAAUACAUUUUUCUCU
This 55295-nucleotide long non-coding RNA is filed under the name Olea europaea (common olive). RNAcentral describes it as "long non-coding RNA (OEUR_LNC009691)". The record is from RNAcentral. Lineage: Eukaryota; Viridiplantae; Streptophyta; Magnoliopsida; Lamiales; Oleaceae.